Molecule: long non-coding RNA, 88826 nt
Filed under: Triticum aestivum (bread wheat)
Lineage: Eukaryota; Viridiplantae; Streptophyta; Magnoliopsida; Poales; Poaceae
Description: long non-coding RNA (TAES_LNC018422)
Source: RNAcentral
UUUUUUCUAUUUCUAUGUUUGUUAAAAUCCUAUGAAUCAAUGAGAACCGGUUAUCAUACCAAUGCAAACAACAAGUGACGAGGCUAUGCCCAAUUUUUUUAAUACACACAAAAAAGGUCAAAUACACAGCAAAUGCCAUUCAUCUGACAUCAUUCUUUGCUUUAUUUAAUUAUUUCUCCAUUAUGAAAAUGGUCUUACACUUAAGGCCUAGGUACUUGCGGGUGGAGGUGGUAGCGUUAUUUCCGGAACACGAUAACCUGCAAAAUUUCAUUCUUCACAUCAUAAUGAUGAACAUGAGAAAUUAUAUAAAGUGUAAAUAUAUAUAUUUGUGUGUGCUUGUGUGUGUGUGCGCGCGCGCGCAAAUAUGACAAUAUACCGACCUGCACAGUGACUGUGUGUGCGCAACCCAUUGCCGCAUACAUGUGUAGCCAUGGCAAACUUGGCUACACUGAGCAAAGUCAGUUCGUGAGCGGUGAACCGAUCACAGACGCAGUGGAUGUCUUUUGCAUCUCUUAUUGUAUUGCAACAUGCACUAUGGAGUGGCGGGUACUGGUCACCAAGUUUCUUUUCAAUGUGAUGCCAACAGUCUCGCAUCACCUUUUUUUUAUCAAGGAGGCAGUGAUCUACCUCGUUGGCUGCUCGUGCAUAGAGCGAACAAGAAGAGAGAGCCACAAGGACUAGGAAGCAUAACACUCUAGCUACUUUUGCGUUGGUCAUGUUCUAUGUUGUGUAGCACUUGGUAUGUGUUUAUGCAAGACUUCUGCGCCACUCAGUCUCUAUAUAUAGUGGUCAUAGUGCAAGUUUUUAGACUCCAUUUGCUCAUCGAUCGCUUAAUUGGACUCUUUUAAUUAAGUGAGAGAUAUAUGACUUGGAUAUGUUAUAAUUUAAUGUUUGCACAUCUAGAUCUUGUAUCAAAUUGUGGCAAUGGAUGUGGAUGCAACCUAUUAAUUAUUGGCAAUGGAGUAGUUGAUUUCGAACUCUUAACAGAUAUGUGUACAUAACUUGGAUAUGUUGAUAAUUAAUGUAGGCACAUGUGUGGUCCUUGUAGUAUCAAAUUGAUGGUAAGGGAUACUUCUAAUUAAAUAUAGCUAGGUGCAUCCAUUUCUUGUAUCAAAUUGAUGGUAACGGAUAUGUAGAUAAGCGUAUCUAUUUGUCUAUCUAUAUCUAUAUCUAUAUCUAUAUCUAUAUCUAUCUAUCUAUCUAUCUAUUUAUCUAUCUAUCUAUCUAUCUAUAUCUAUCUAAUACUAAUAACGGACUCCCUACAUAUUAAAAUGUUAAUCAGUGAAAACAAGAAAUAGAAACCGGUGAUUUUAGCGGGCCUGAAUUACUACGGUUACGAUCUAUUAAUAAAUCCCUUGGAUGUUUCAAUUGAAAAAUAGAACUUGGAUCUCAAUCAGGGAAAAAAGGAAUAGAUAUGAUGCAAUCUAAGCAAUCGUUCAGAUUCGACACGGUAGAUGAGACGUCAUGCAAUUGUCAAAAUCAUGAUCGUGUUUCUUUGUUACUAACCUAGAUACGACCUGAUUCGUAUAUCUCCAGCCAAUUUGCAGUCCAUCGAUUGUUCCAAUGCCAUCUCAUGGACUUGGCUUGGAGGAACUAUGCCACAUGAUAAAGCAGUCCCGAUGUAAUCUCUCUGACCUUCUCAGCAUUCGCCACGGUUGUUCCUAGCGAUGGAUAUCUGCCGGCACCAACCAGCACACAAACUGUAAGUAGAAAAAGACGAUCGAGGAUUAUGGUUAUCGGGAUUUAGACAUAGUUUUCUUAUCUUUUAGAUCCGCUGAGGAUGUUGUUACAGUGAUGGAACAUACGUCUGGCUACCUAUAUGCUCAACACGGGGUGGUGCAUAUUUGGUUCCAUCAAUAAUUUAACGCACUAACCGACAGUCAAUCUUUCUUUGUCUUUUGUUUCUUUUUUAUAUCCUUUGCUAGUUCUUGCAAUCUUCUAAAGAAGUCACGUUCAGUUGGUCCCUAUUUGUUCAUGGAGUUCUUUCAUGAUCAGUAGAAACUUGAUGUGUGUUGACAUUGGCAUUGACGGCCCAAAAUAAGGAUAUGAAUAUGUUGCAUUAAACUUCUCUCCUUGCCAAUACCGAUCCUCAUAUUUGUGUCUUGGGGGUGAUCUUGGUUUCUUUGCAUGAUUUGGCCGAUAAACAUUCUUCUCUUCACUCUUCUUUUGAUAUUUAUUCAAUAGUUCAGCGAAGGUGAUUUUUGAUCUCUUACACUUGCGCUUAUUUCGGCCUUCAUUUUCUUUUUGUUUGCUUUCGUCGAUCAUUGGAGUUUCUUGUUGCCCCCCGGUCCUUAGGGUCUUCAUUGUAGCUUCGAUGGAAUUUCCCCCCUCAAGAAUAUUAUCAUUGUGCUCUUGAAAGACUUUCUUACUUGAAAUAUUAAUCCCAUUAUCUACAGUUUUUACCUUCUAAUGUUUAAAUAGACCAGCAUGAAGCAGCCGAUGCAAAAACUGUUUACCAACAGGACCGAUCGGAAUAGACUGGUCAUCUCUUGGUGUCUCAACAAAUUUCAAUCGUCCUUUAUCAAUGACCGAUUUAACUAUUUGACGAAACAUAUUACAAUCCUCGAAAUUAUGUUUGAACGAAUGAUGCAAUCUACAAUACAUUCAUCCUUGGUUUGAUGGCUUGAAGUGGUGAUCAAGAAUUCUAAUGUAAUUAUUUUUCAGCAACAACUCAAAUAUUUGAUCACACAUGCUUGAAUUGAAGGUAAACUUUUUAUUUUCUAGACGAUCUUGUUGUGAGAACGGCUUUAGAGGUAAGCACACGAAUGGUUCAGAUUUGGAAUCUCCCCAUUCGGCUAUGAAUUUUCUUUUGCAUUCUUUUUCCGAUGUCAUUGGGUAAGAUAUUAUACUAGCAUUGAUUUUCUCAAAAGAAUCUAAACUUGACUUUAUGUUUCUGAAACAAAAAUAGUUAGAACACACGUCUCAAUGGAGACCAAACGCAAGCCAAGUAAGAAAUAAACAAAGCUACCCAACUAGAUAUGAACUUUAGAUAAAGCAAUGGGGAAAGCCUUGGCUGUAACAAUAAGUCACUAUCGGUCUUUAUAAAUGGCACAAUGGGUUGACCGAUAUGCUCUAUAACAAUUUUAUCACUUAUAAGUAAAUUAGCCUUCUUCACUGGUCUUUCAAAAUUACUUAUUAGGAUUUUUUAAUAGAUGCAUCAACAAUAAAGUUGUGACCAAAUAUGAAAACAAGUAAAUUACUUGCUAGACAUACCUCUUCAAAUUUGUUGGGAGAGCAUGAUGGUGGUGUGACUUGAACAAUAUCUUGCUCCGUCUUUGGAUGGCUCCCCAAUGCCUUUUCAUCAUCUUCUUCUUCUUCUUGAUUCCGUGCAUUAUUACAUCAAUGAUCUUUGUCAGCCGAGCUUUUUUCGGCUACUUGUUCUUGUCCUCGAGGCUUGUCAAUUUUUACGGCACGGAACUCAUAGGGCAGGAAGUAGGUUCCAUUAACUUUAAAAAAAUCAAGCACGACUGUUUUCCUAUGCUUGCCAUGACCUUUCUCAAUAAUGCUUGCCUCUUUGGAUUUGAUGGAUUUAGAAUACACGCUACUUGAUUCGGGGAUUUCAACCGAAGCACUUUCAUGUUUCAAAUCAAUCCUUCUUUUCAUUGUCUCUACCAAUUGGCAAUGCUUCUUUUAUUUGAGCCAAUCUUUUUUUUUGUUUCUGGCAGCGAGCGGCAAAACUGGCUUUAAGUUUUUUCUCAAUUUCAGCCCACUCCGGAUAUGAUUGCCCCCCAAAACUGACACAUGAGUGUUGCCGAAACUUUGCAAUUGCGUAGGGGUGUAUAAUAUUUAGGAUAGUAUAACUGCACCUAAUCCCUGCUCUCUCACGCCAUUAGGCUCUGUGGCCGUUCGUUUUACUGAUUUAACCAUUCCUGGCCGUCAGAUCUGCUUGACACUACUAGGGAAAAGCCUAUACACAGAAUCUUACCAGCAUCGCGUUUUAAAAUAAGGCGAUGCUGCUAUAUAGCAGUAGCGCGCUCCAGCAGAACUCACUUCUGAAAUAGAAGUAGUAGUAGUGCGCCUCCUGUAAGCCGCGCUAUUGCUAUAAUUGCCACGACCCCGCCGCGAAGCUAGUUCUAGCAGCAGCGCGUUAAUACGAAGAGCGCUACUGCUAAGCCAUUCUAUCUCCCACCCCUCACUCUCCUCUCUCUGAUCCACUCACACUCACACUCACUCGAUCUCCCUCCUCAACCCCCCGCGCCGGUCCUCCCCCGCCAGCUGCCCUCGCACCCGUCGCCCGCCGUCGCCUACCCCUCCUCCCUCUGCGCCGCCGUCACCCCCUCCUCGCUGGACUCGGUACCGCCCUCCUCCUCUGUUCGCCGCCGGCUGGCCCCUCCUCGCUCCGCCUUCCUCCUCCAUCCUACUCUCUACUCCCUCCUCCAGUCACCCCCCUUCUCCCUCCUCCCUCCUCCAUCCACAACCCCUCCUCCUUGCUACAUUUUGAUUUAGUAGGCUAGUUCAUAGGCAACAUUUUGAUUUAGUUGAUUUAGUAGGCUAGUUAAUUUAGUUGAUUUAGAAAAUUUUAAUUUAGUUGAUUUAGUAGGCUAGUUGAUUUAGUUGAUUUAGUAUGCUAGUUGAUAGCUCUGAAGAUUUGGCACGACCUAGCUAGAUGCUUGGAAAGAAAUGCACCAUUUUAUUGUUAUUUUUUCUGUACAUGGAUAGCUAGAUGCUUUUAUUUUUCUGUAAUAAGUUAUUUUUUGGCAAAAUGUAGGUGCCAAUUUAGUUAAAUUUGCCACUUAUUUUUUAAUCAGUUAUCUUAGGCAAUAGGGGCCAAAUUAGAUGAAAUGUGUUGGUAGGUGGUACCCUGAUUUGGUAGAUAUUUGUGAAAAGUUUUUUCGGCAAUAGGUGCCAUUGAAAUGCUUUGGUAGGUGGUACCUUGUCAUCUUAUAUGUUACUAGAUCUUAGGAUUAUAAUUGUCCAUCAAAUUGCUUCUCGCGGAAGAAUCUCUUCAUCUAGAGAUAUCGGUGAUAUAUACACAAGAUUUGGCAUUUGCCUGCUAGCUGUUGGUUCUAUUCUAGAAGGUGUUAGUAAGCUAUGAAAAUAUAACUGAAGAAGAACCAAAAAUAUCACAUGCUACUGUUUUUCUUUCCUGUGAAGUGGAUCGUUAAUCCUUUGCUCGUAUUGCUUUAGGAAAAUGGCGCCACCACCACCACCACCAUGUCGACUGUGCAAGUUAAGGUGCGCCAGCAGCCUUGCAACUGGCAAGCUGUUCAGCAUCUACUUCCAGCCGAGUUUUCGUCAUGCGGCGGUAAGAAAUUAUAUGAAAUGAAACAACUAUUUUAUUUUUAGUGUUGGCAUUACUGCAUUGUGUCAUUUUUCUUUUUUUACACAGAUCGUCCCAUGCAAUGUGAGGUUGAAAUUCAACAAGCUGAUAGGAGACACUAUGACAUUUGAGGCUCCUGGGGGGCGUACACUAUGGAGGUCGAGAAAGGACGCAAUAUGUCGCAGAGUGGAGGAGAUGGAUGGGCCCGUUUCCUCGCCCGCAUGCGUCUUACUGGUGGUGAGUUGAUCAGCUUCUCCUUUAGAGCGGAAAGACCCAAGUUGGCUGUCAUUUAUAUCAACCUGGAUGAAGAUGACGAAGAUGAUGAAGAUAAUGAGGACUCACUCGAUGAAGAUGAUGAGUACCCACUUCAUGAAGCCAUCGUAGCUCAAAGAAUGAGGCUGAGCGAGGAGGAGGUGUGCAACCUAUGGACAUAAUUCCGCCACAUGAUGACUUUGUCGGGGUGCCAUUCGUGACCCGCCUGGCAAGUACCAUGGUCGAUCGGCAUGAUAUGGUAUGUUAUACUUACAAAUGCAAAUUAUCCGAUGAUAUGCUUAGUGUAGAGUCCAAUGAUCUGUUGUGUGGAAUCUAGUCGAUGAUAUGCUUUAGUGUAGAGUCUCAUCACAUGCUUAUUAUUGUAGAAUCCAAGAAACUAUUAAUAGUGUAGAUAAUCCAUAUAUACUUAUUAGUAGAAUUCAUGCUUAGUACAAAUGUGUAGUACUGUGUCUUUUGAUAGUGUAGAAAUCUAUACUUAAUAGAAAUAUAUUUGCAAGAGUAUGUGCGAGGCUAUUUAUUAAUUGAUAUGUUUUUCUUAUUCAGAAAUUGCCAAAGAGCCUAUCUGUGAGUUGUGGUAUCGAGCCUGAUGAAGAAGGCUCAGCUGGACUACGCCUUACCGCAAGGGGCUCCGUCACCACCUGUACUUACCGCAUGGACACGGACGGUCGCACACAGUUAAACUCGGUUGGGUGGAAGAGAUUUCUCGUUGGCAAGAAUCUUCGUGUUGGACAGGUCAUCCUAAUUACUAUCAGGAACACCCACCGCCCAGGCUUGAGGAUGAUGAUCGUCGUCGAUAUCAUCUAGAACUACAUAUGUGUGUGGCUGUAUGACUAUAUAUACCUAGUAGAACUACUAUAUAUGUGUGGCUGUAAGACUACCUACUACUGCUUGAGGAUGCAUGUUGACUAUAUAUGAAAUUGUUAUCUAGUACUACCUAGUACCUAUAAUGCUUUAUGAAAUUGAUAUCUAGUAGUACCUAGUAUCUGAAAAUUGCAGUUUAUUGAAACUGAAACGGGGUAGGAAGCGGGGGGAAAAUGAUGAAAGAUAUAGCAGUAGCGCGGGGCUAGGAAAGCGCUACAGCUAAUUAAUAGUAGCGCGUUCCGGAAAAGCGCUAUUGAUAUAGUCAGUAGUAGUAGCGCGGGUACAGACCGCGCUACUACUAACAGUUAGCUGUAGCGUUGUAGUAGUAGCGCGGCUACCCGCACUGCUGAUAGCCUCAAAACCCGCGCUACUACUAGGGUUUUCCCUAGUAGUGUGAUGUAGCGUCAUGGCCCAAUUCCUAUAGCAUCCAGACCCAACUGUCCUAAGGGGCUGCUACUCUGGAAGAAAAAUCUGAGGCCUCUUGUUAAUUGGGCCACUUGAGGCAGCCCAUUUAACCACCCUGACUCCAAGCUGUCGAUGGUUCGCUGCAGCUGUCCCUUGUACCUAAAAAACAAAUGUUUUUUUAAAACAAAUGUGAACUAACUGAAGCCAGAUAACAGCUAAGGACUUCCCUCUAGUUAGGGUUUUCUUCUCCCGGAGGCAAUCUGUCGCCGCCGUCGAGACCUUACCUUCCCUCCUCUGAUCGCUCCUCGUCUAACGUUUCGGGCUGACUUAGGGGUGAUCUCUGCAUCACUUCCCGGCCUUGAUCGUCAACCUGGUAGCGAGAAGAGAGCUAGGGUUCGUUCACAACGCCCGAUCUGACUCUUUCUUCGGGCUAGGGUUCAGGUUUUUCGCUUACGGCAAUGGGAGCAAACGCUGAUGAAGCGUCUGGUUCAGGCGCCGUGACAGAGAUGGAAAAGAUGAUGGCAGAGUUAGGGCUCAGGGAGGAGGACCUGGACGACGUUGUUUUCGACGAGAAGGCGGCGCCGUCGGAAGCUACCAGGUGGAUGGCAGUGGCUAGGGUUCACAUUGAUAAACCAUAUAGCCAAUACUGGUUCUUCAAGAACAUGAGGUCAGCCUGGGAUCUUGCGCAUGAUGUUAAGUUCCGCCCUCUCGAGGACAACCUCUACACGAUGCAAUUCUUCUGUCUAGGAGAUUGGGAACGGGUCAUGCAGGAAGGGCCAUGGAACUUUAGGGGAAACGCAGUGGUAAUUGAGCCUUAUGAUGGUGUCACAAAGCCUACAGAGGUGAACCUUGACAACCUCAAUAUAUGGAUUCAGAUCCAUGAUGUUCCAGACCUUUAUGCUCAUCUAGUUGGGCCCCUUGCAUCUAAAGUUGGGGAGGUUCUGUUCACCGAAACAGCGACACAGGACUUCGUGGGUAAUUUCCACCGUGUCUGGGUCAGAAUCAAUGUCCACAAGCCGCUCAAGAACGCGGUGUCUAUUAUACGCGAUGGCAAACGACAGAUUUACCGGGUGAAGUACGAGCGCCUCCCGGACUGGUGCGCUGUCUGUGGUCAUCUAGGGCAUGUUUUUAAGGAGCAUGGAGAUGGGAUACAUCCUCCCUCGGCCCUGUAUUUUAAGGACCUAAGGGCGACAUGGAACAUGCGGAUUGGAGCCGGCCCUGGAGCUGGUCGUAGCAAGGAACGACGCGGAGGCCGUCGCGGCGGCCGGGGAGGACGUGGCAGGGGUCCGGCAAACACGGGACAGGAGCACUCAGAGCAGGACACGGAUGGUGAUGUGGAUGCGGUGAUGAAGGAAGCAGACGGGAAUAGGAAGCGUCAGCCAGAUGACCUGAAUGUGCAUAGCCAAAAAACCAUCCCGCCUGCAGCUAACAACGCCCUUGCCCUGCCUCUGGCGAUUGUGCCAGCGAGCCCCUCAUCCAAACAGGAGCAGAAACGGCUUAGAUCCAACCAAGACAAGAACAGUUUGAAGAAAAGUGGUGUUUCAGAAAAAACAAAUGACGCAAAAUCGGCGACCUCCCGCGAGGAGGAUCGCCGGGCGCAAUGAAUCUGCUCUGUUGGAAUUGUCGUGGUGCGGGCAAAGCCGCGACAAUUCAGGAACUUCGCGAUCUAGCGAAGCAAUUUGCCCCGACCAUGUUGUGCAUAGUUGAGACACAAAUUUCUAAGGCACGGGUCAAAAGUCUUGGUGAUACGUUAGGUUUUUCUCAUGCUUAUGCAGUUGGUAGCACUGGCCGUAGCGGUGGUCUCGGCCUUUUUUGGAAUGAUGGAAUAAAUAUAAAUGUCUUUGGUUAUUCAGAGUAUCAUAUAGAUGCCACUGUUAGUUCCCCGAACAGUAUGGACUGGCGCCUCACUUGCGUUUAUGGGGAGGCCCAGGUCGGAGAGCGGUAUAAAACUUGGGACACGCUAAAAUCUUUGGUCUCGGCUAGCCCUCUGCCCUGGCUGUGCUUAGGUGAUUUCAAUGAGGUCUUACAUGCCCAUGAACAUGUCGGAUCAGGGCAAAGGCGUGCCACCCAGAUCGCUGGCUUUCGGGAUGCGAUGGACGUCUGCGCUCUAGAUGAGUUGGGUUACCAAGGGCGACCCUGGACCUUUGAGAAGAAGACAGCGGGCGGCACAUACUGCCGAGUGCGCCUUGAUCGUGCUAUGGCAAACAGUGAUUGGGUUGCUAUGUAUCCUCAUGCCACGUUAUUUCAUGAACAUGCAGCCUCUUCUGACCACUGUCCCAUCCGGCUGCAACUAGAGCCACGGCCUAUUUCUAGCCAGGGGAGAAAGAUCUUCCGGUACGAACUGUAUUGGGAGAGGCACGCUGAUUAUAAAGCUGCUCUUGACAGUCUAUGGGCGCAGGAACCAGGAGCGAAUACUGUCGUCGAUUUGAAUAAGAAGCUUACAAACUUGUCCGUUUCUCUGACCCAAUGGAGUGGCGCCAUGAUUGGGCAAGUGUCCAGAGAAAUUAAGAAACUGAAGAAAGCCCUUGCAAACUUCCAGAAUGACCCUCAGAGAAUCUCGCCGUCGCAUGCAGAGGUCAAGACGGCGGAUCGGCUCGUCGAGCUUUAUCACAUGGAAGAAAUCCUGCUACGUCAAAGAUCCCGGGUGGACUGGCUUACGGACGGCGACAAGAACACAAAGUACUUCCAACGUCGAGCUAGCAUGCAGCGACGGAAGAACCAAAUAAAAAGCCUCCAACGUGACGAUGGGUCGACGACGCAGGAUGUGCCUGAGAUGGCCAACUUGGUGAACUCUUUCUACAAAAACCUUUUCACCUCUGAGGGCACGUCGGGGAUGAAUGAGGUUCUGGAUACUGUCCCGUGUAAGGUGACAAGCGAGAUGAAUGAAAACCUGACCGCUCCGUACACAGCUGAGGAGGUCAAGACGGCCCUGUUUCAAAUGUAUCCUACGAAGGCACCGGGACCAGAUGGAUAUCCUGCUCACUUUUUUCAAAGGCAUUGGGCCUUAUGCGGUAAUGAGGUGACAGAUGUGGUUCUUCGGAUUCUUCGGAGAGAGGAGAGCCCGGAGGUUAUUAAUGAAACUAUUUUAGUUCUCAUCCCUAAGGUAAAGGACCCUACACAGCUCACGCAAUUCCGCCCUAUAAGUCUUUGUAACGUUCUUUACAAGAUUGCUUCAAAGGUUUUGUCCAAUAGACUUAAAAUCAUUCUUCCUGAUAUUAUCUCCGAGGAGCAAUCUGCUUUUGUUCCAGGAAGAUUGAUCACCGACAAUAUCAUAACGGCAUAUGAAUGUUUGCACUUCAUGAAAAGGAACAAGGCACAAAGAAACCGUUUUUGUGCAGUUAAGGUGGACAUGAUGAAAGCCUACGACAGAGUCGAGUGGAGCUACCUGGAGGCUAUAAUACUAAAGAUGGGGUUUGCUCCCUCUUGGGUGGCUCUGAUUAUGAGAAUGGUGAGUUCGGUAAAAUUCUCAGUUUUAUUCAAUGGCAGCAAACUUGAAGAAUUCCUGCCAUCCAGAGGGAUCCGACAGGGGGACCCAAUUUCUCCAUACCUGUUCUUGCUUGCAGCGGAGGGCCUUUCGUGCCUCUUAAAAACUACAAAUGAAUCAUCGCACCUCAGUGGUAUUCGAGUAGCUCCAUCGGCACCGCCGGUAAGCCACUUGCUUUUCGCAGAUGAUAGCCUGCUGUUUGUUAAGGCCAGUGUUGACGGAGCAAAUGAGUUGUCCUCCUUGUUAGACUCUUAUUGCCAUGCCUCGGGUCAGAGAGUCAACCUUUCAAAAUCUUCGGUAUUUUUCAGUAAGGGAUGCCCAAACAAUCUCAGAAACGAAGUAAAACAGGUACUCAAUAUAACCAACGAAUCUCUAUCAGAAAGAUAUUUGGGUAUGCCCUCUGAUGUAGGCAACAACAAGAAUGGUACUUUCAAGUUUCUGAAGGACAGAGUGUGGAACAAAGUUAAAGGUUGGCUUGAAAAAAUUCUUUCCAUGGGGGGAAAAGAAGUUCUAAUCAAAUCAGUGGCUCAGGCCGUUCCGGUUUACUCGAUGUCAUGUUUCAAACUCCCUCGGGGACUUUGCGAGCAUUUGAAUUCUCUCAUAAGGAAAUUUUGGUGGGGCAGCAAGGAUGCAAAGAGAAAGGCGCACUGGGUUUCGUGGAGUACCAUGACUAGACCUAAGCAGUGCGGGGGCCUGGGUUUCCGAGAUAUCGAACUGUUUAACCUCGCCCUUCUCGCGAGACAGGCGUGGCGCAUUUUAUCGGAACCAAAUACCCUAAGCGCGAGGAUCCUAAAGGCCAAAUAUUUCCCAACAACAGAAUUUCUUCAUGCUGAACUUGGAUCUUCUCCAUCACAAGUGUGGAGAGCCAUAUUGGAUGGGAGGGACACAUUGUCACAAGGUUUAAUACGUCGGAUCGGUGACGGUCAGACUACGGAGAUAUGGCACCACAACUGGCUGCCGCGUGCCCACAAUAUGAGGCCGAUCACGAGCAGGAUCCCUAAUCCACCGCAGCUAGUUGGUGAAUUGAUACGGCCGGAUGCGUCAUGGGAUAGACAGACUAUCGCUCAAGUUUUCCUGCCAACUGAUGCAGCAACCAUCUUCUCAAUCCCUCUAUGCACCAAGCAUAGUGAUGAUUUCUGGUCUUGGGCUCAUGAGAAAAACGGAGUUUUUUCAGUCCGUUCGGCGUAUCGCAUGCUAGUUACCACAAAACACAGUCGCGAAGCUUGGCUGGAGGGGCGCUCAGAUUCUUCCAACUCUGAAGGUGAACAAAAGUCGUGGUCCAAAUUAUGGAAAAUAGAUGUGCCUUCAAAGGUCAAAAUUUUCCUAUGGAGACUAGCCCAACAGUCGAUUCCGACAGCGGACGUGUUACAUCAUCGAAACAUGUCGACAGUGGAAACUUGCGGGCUGUGCGGUGCAACAAGUUCCUGGCAGCACUCCCUUCUUCAUUGCCAUGUUUCUCAUUCUGUUUGGGCUUUGCAAAAGCCGGAAAUUUUUCAGGUACUAACCGAAACAACUGAACCAGAUGCAAAGCGGUGGAUCUUCUCCCUCCUGGACACGCUCCCGGUGGCGGAGUUUACACAAGUCCUGGUUACUCUCUGGGCUCUCUGGUUUUCCCGACGACAAGCUUUACACGAGCAUAUUUUCCAGAGCCCGUUAUCAACCCACCAAUUUAUCAUGAAGUACAUACGAGAGCUCAAUGACUGCAAGCCAAUUCCGGUGAAGCACACCCCAGCAACCCAAUCUAGUGCGAGGAAGCCUAGAUGGAUAAGGCCUCCGGAGAACUUUGUAAAAAUCCGUGUUGAUGGGGCCGUCAAUAGAGCAAAUGAUGAAGGUUCUUACUGUGCAGUGUGUAGGGACGGAGAAGGCAACUUCUUGGGCGCGUCGGCCAUCAGAUGUGCCGGCCUCACUGAACCGGCUACGCUUGAAGCAUUAGCUUGCCGGGAAGCUCUUGCGCUUGCUCAAGAUCUCUCGUUAUCCCAUGUUAUAGUUGCUUCUGACUCCAAAGAGGUGGUGCAGGAUAUCAAGUUAGGCACUGGUGGGAUGUAUGCAACCAUUGUGAAGGAGAUUAGAGAGACAAUGGAGCUUUUCCAUCAAUGUUCCGUCAUCUUUGAAGGACGAGAAACCAAUCAAGAGGCACAUAGCCUUGCUAAGCAUGCUUUUGGUCUGGAUCCGGGGCGCCACUUGUGGCUUUUAAACCCCCCCAGAUUUGAAUUGUAUCCCUAUGAACAUUAUUCAAUAAAGUAAAGUGUGUUUAGACCUAAAAAAACCUAAAAAACAAAUGUACGGUCGAUAGGAUGUGUUGGACUCAGAACAGAGGAGGCGCUCGAGGGAGCCAGGCACACGAGGGGAUCGAGCGGUGGCGAAGCAAGACGAGUCGAGCGAGGGGAGCCGAGGUGCGUGAGUGGAUCCACUGUCACGCGGUUCAGCUGAUGCGUGCAAGGGGAACCGAUCCAACCUGAGAGGGGAUCCAGCGGAUGCGCAGGAUGCGGAUGAAUCAGGGGCUAGUCGAUCUACCUGAGAAGCCGUGCAUUCAUGGCGAUUGAUGUGCCAAUCCUUUCUCUGUCGAGUGGUACGUCUAUACAUUCUUCUUCCCCUGACACUCUCCGCUCAUCCUCUCUACAACAGCAUCACAACAUCUUUGAGCAUCACGCUCUGGUAGGAUUCCAUUCCAUGUAUUCGUUUUAGUUCAUGUAUGGUUCAUUUUUGCACGAAGAAAUUAGAUAUCCUCUCAUACAAAAAAAAUUGCGCGUACAGGUGAUGUUACUGUGCUCAAUUGAUUUCAUCUUGGAUCUUGGCAUUAGAAUAUCUUUGCUUAGCAGUUGCGUGUGCCAUUGGCCGUCAGCAUCAAGCCACCACGUAAUUCCUCGCCUCCAGGCAGCCAUUGCUCGUGACCAGUUCUGAUGCCCAAGUGCGAGACCUUCCUCAACGUCUCUUUGCUCCAAUCGCUGAUCAAAUUUGAAGCUGCCCGAGACAAAAUGGUACAAGGAAGUUCUAUGCUCCCAGGUAGACAGCAACAUGUACAUUACUACUCACGCACCCCUCUAUUUUGGACGAACAUAAUUUUUAUCCUGAUUCUGGUUCAUUUCCUUGGGAAAUUCUUGGAGGCUCUGGUUCUGAUAUAUUUGUUCAGGAAUUCUUUACCUUAUAAUUUGGUAUGGCUAUUGCUUAGAUAUUAUGGUGAAGAAUGUAUGUGUAUCAUUAACGCCGUGUAUUGUUAAUUAUUGUUGUUGUCAAUAGGAGGCAAUAAUCUGGAGGACUGAAGAUGCAGGAUGCAUCCCUAGAAAGUGGAGAUGCAUGAGAAAGCAUUGACAAAGUGAGAGAUAAGACCUCAACUAGGAUCAUGUAAGGCAGCAGAGAUCAACAUCAAAUCUGUUCAUAAAAUAGUAUGUUUAUUUCUAAUCAUGUUUUGGUUCUAAACUUCAUAUUGGUUUUGGAAAAGGGUUCCUGCUGGUUCAAGAUCAAUGUUACGAAGUGCUACAAAAUCAAAACAAAAGAUCAUUACUUCCAUUAAGAAUAGGCAAGUUGAAGAAGGGACAAACUAUUUACUUCAGAUCAUCCCCUUUUCAGCCUCCAAAUCAAAGAGUUUGUGUUCUUUAAAUGAUUUUGUCUCCUUGCAUACUAGGUUCCAUUACCAAAUGCAGUGGCAAAAAUUGUCCGCGGUGGAGUCGAGGAAAGAGGCGGGAGGAGUGCAGGUGGUGGUGGGUUAGGACAGUAGUGACUGAUGUUUCGCCGGCUCAAGGCCAUCUCCAGGCGACGUCCUCCAUAGCUAUGAUCCACUCAUUGUCAUCCACGCAUCUACCUCUACUACAAAUAAUGAUAUGCAUAAUCACCUUUUUGGGUUUGUUCAGUCUUCUGCAUGAUAAUAAUUUAAUUACUAAAACAUGGAUUAGUUAGUUGCAUUUUUUGCAUUUGUCUUUGGUAGGAAUCUUUUUUCUGGUAGAUGUGGUCCUAAAUGAUUCUAUCAUUUUUCCUAAUGAUUAACCAACUGUUGAGGAGUUCAGCAUGGUUUAUUAUGUAAUAAAUUUUCUGAGAAACGUAUCAGAUGGCUAGCUUUGAAAAUGUGAAACACAAAUAAUUGGCUCCUCUGUUUCACUAGCUAGCUCCAAGUGUAUUGUUAUGUCAUCUCAUGCCAUGACAUCCAUUCUUUAUUAAAUUAGGUGAUGUUAUUGUCCAGAAUGGUGCGACCUGUAUCAUUGUUUAGUGUGUUAUUUAGUAUGCCAAAAGUGCAGGGAGUUCACCCAAACAACGUUAUAUGGGGUUUGUACAACACAAUUGCAACCUGAAAUCAGUAAGACUACCACUACCUUAGGUUGAUGCAUGGCCAUGAUCUUUUGUUUGUACUUCAAAUUACAACUUUCAUUCUCCAUCUUAAUAUUUACUUCUUUAUGUAACUGAAUUGUUUUGGGUCUGGGUUAGAUUAAAUAUCUUGGUGCUGACGAGGUCGUCGCACAAUUGCUGACCUGCAUUUCCCACCUUUUCGUCCUAGAACACUUAUUUUCUUUCUGCGGGGUCUUCAACACUUAUGUUAACUUGCCUAACCCAUCCAUGCGCUAUAUAUGUAUUGGUAUGGUAAAACAGUUUGUUUCAAACAAGUAUUUUUCUCAUUUCAGAAGGUAAACAUUAGCAACUUUAAUAUUUUGUGCCUCCGUAUAUUUGCACAAGUUCUUAUCAUCCUGUUGGGAAAAACAAAUGGGUGCGGCAACACACGCCAUUACAUCUCUGCGUCGAUUCAUUUCACUUAAUUCUUUCUAAAGCCACUUCCUACAUAUUGUCAACAAGUCAAUAACAUUAUCAGAGAUUUCAGAUAACAACAGAGAGAAAUGAAUGGGAGCAGGGAGAGGGAAAGCAAGAUCAUUGACCAGAUCGAGGGGAUUACCUGCAAAGGUGCUAGGUCUGGGGGAGACACCGGCAUGCUGCAUCACCCGUGGCAGCUGGAUCGACCCUCCUGGGGAAAAUUGUAAACCAUGAAAAACACUUUAUGGAUUUGAACAAGUCGGUGUGUGCAGAAUGCAAAAUAAUAUCCCUACCAGCCAUCAAAACAUCAUGAUAUCAGUACAACAACUGCACGCCGUAAAGAUAUUAGUCCUGGACCCAGCAAAAGGACUCAGAUUUUGGUAGACAUGAAACUAAGAGGAUGGCCAAUAUAUAUUAGCUGAAAAUUAUAGAAGAUGACAGUUAUGUAAAAGGAUAAAUAUUUGGUUUGCCUACAUAAUGGUUCAGAAGUUAAUUCACUAGAAAUGGAAAUUAAGUUCUUCCAUGUCUAAAAAUUACUAUCAUUCAAUAGGAAAAAAUAGACGGGCGCAUCAACACGCGCCAUUCAUGAUCUAGUGAUGUAGUACUAGGUGAAGGCAUAUGCAUUGUUGUAGAACCAUAUUUUUGCUCGCCAAUUCUAUCAAUUGGCAAAGAAUCAUCUUCUUGCAAAACUCUAGAUUUUAUCGCAUUAUAAUCAGGAACUAACCCCUUAUCAUGCUCUUCAAGGCAAAGAGCACUAAUCUUGUUAUUUCGGGCUAUAUCCCUUUUUAAUGUAGCCACUUCCCAUUCUGUAAGGGAUUGCUCCACCAUACUUCUAGAUUCUUUCGGUAGUGAGGUGUUGCCGAAAUUAUGCAAUUGUGUAGAGGAUGCUUUAAUAUUAGAUGAUGGCAUGUGCACUCCUGCAAAAUUUUCACUUAUUCGGCUAUGAGCAUGAAGGUGCGGAGCCGAAUUAUGAGCAUCUACAGUUGUAUACGGUGCUGAAAAAUUACUAACAUGAGGUGUAGCAUAUGGUGGUUGAGAGUAACUGGCCGAAUAGCUAGUAGUAGCAUGGCCAAUUCUCCCAUCCGUCAGCAAGGUUGGAUUCUCAUGUUGCAAAUUAUUUGCCGGUGAAUAAAAAGGUGAAACACUUUGUCGCAUGAUAUUGGAAGUUCCAACACGAGGUGUUUCAACUUGAUUAACCGAACCCAUCAUGUUGUUCAUCGGCAUAUGGAUUUAUGUGGUUGCCGAUGCAUGAGGGUUGGGAUACAUAUGUUGCAUUAUGCUAAAAUUUUAAGUUGAAGCAUGGAGAUUACUUUGCAUCGGCUGUCGCACGUAAUUAGAUGCAUAAUUGGUAAAACAAGGGCUAGCCGAUACGUUAUGCUCAUUAAUUGAUUUAGCAACAACAUAUGAUUUAUUUUCAUCUACAUAAGGGAACUGGGUAUUCGUAUUACCUUUGUAGAUUGCAAACCCUAGAUGACGAUCUCUUCGUAGCAAGAACGGGCUAGAGACCGUUCGAAGCUUCGUCCCCAGCGGAGUCGCCAAAAAGUGUGUUCUCACACGAACACGCCACCGUGUACCCUUGACGCCGGGGGUGAUGCUCCGCAUCUCACGUUGAAGGAGACCCGUCCGGAAGCCCAGUAUGCAAGCAAUCCGGCGGGCGCUUUUGUAGACCCGAAACCACACACACCCGGGAGGGACUCCGUUAGGGCGCGCGGUGGUUAUUGGCUGCCCUAGGUCGACUUGAUCGCCCCUAGGACCUUGUGGAUAGCCGCCCUGCAACUAGAAGAACGGACGAAGAACGAGGAAGAAGAAAAACAAGAAAGAGAUAAAAGUAAAGGUAAAAGAUGAUAUAUUGAUAUGUCGAUUGUGUGUUGUUAUUCAAUCGGCCGUCACCUCUUACAUAUAUAUGAGACGGCUGGACUUUCCGUACAAAAAAAGGACUCAAAUCCCGUCCAAAACAUCAAAAGUUAACCUAACUCGGACUAGGAGGGCCGGAACUUCCGGUAGGUCCGGAACUUCCGGGCUAAAAUUGCAUCAAGUUGCCCUCUUGCACCGAUCCUGCAGGUCGCAUAUGGCUUCGGAACGCGGUGGUCCCAAAAGCAAAGUUGUAGAUCUUGCAAUGGAGAAAAAUUCUUCAGUUGAUCACUUUUUCAUUCGAGGUUAUCUUGAGGUUGAAUUCGAGCCUACAAAUAUGCAAAUAAUGUUAAAACUCUAGUUUUCGGGGCGUGUCCUCUCUCUGGCGAGAGAGGUGGACUCUAGUGAUCUCCUAUCUUAUAGACGUGCACUCAUGGUCUUCGUUCUCGGCCCGAUCUUUAUUUUCUCUUGGCAGGAGCGAUGUUCUAUGACCGGAGUGUGGGGGGUUGUCUCAACGGUUAGUCGGCUCUUUCCGGAGAUGGCUCGGUGUGUUUGGUUCGUUAGUGUCCCGUCCGGCGGUUUCUCAUUGCAGCAAGGCUCUGAUCCUCUUAGUAGCCAUGGAGGUAGUUUGUUAGGCGUGGCCUCUCCUGUUUUUCAUGUUUGGUGUUUGGUUAGUGGCACUUCUGCCACUCGUCAGUGCCACUUUGUUUUCUUUCGACUUGCUUGUAUGAGGAUUUUCUCACCACUUUGCAUUGGUUCAGCCGUUCGUGUCUUUAUAUAUAUAAAGGGAGGCGAAAGCAUGUUUUCGUGUAGUAUAGUGUAUGUUAAUCACAAUUUCAGAUCUACUAUAGCAACCAAGGAUUUGGUGAUGGGCGAAAAAAUUGGUUAUCGCUUGAAACCGCGAAUCUUGCAAUACCAAUGGAAAAACGAUUUUUUUGAAUUUGAAUGAACAGCGCACAUCACCCUUAUAAUUUCUGAUAAGUUUUUUUUUAUCAUUUUUCAUCUGUUUUGGUAUCGUUUUCCACGUAAACUUUUACUCAGGCCAGGAGCCGGAAGCGAUACUAGCCUGAACCGCACACGUCAUUGGUAGAGAGGGGACACCCGCGAUCAUUCGGGGCGAAUCGCAGCGCCCCUUUCAUACUCUCCAAGCACUUUUUUUUUGAGACAUCUCCAAGCACAUGCAUGUACUCAAGAGACUAGCGCGCGCCCCCUGAACUAUGCCUCGCUCUCCGGUGAGCUCCAGAGCUCCAACAAUUGGAGUGGACACCCGCUGCAUGAAUCUUAGCAUUGUGUGGUAGAUAACUCACCCGUAGGUACCCAUUGUUAGCAACCACAUUGUGUGAGACGUAGCCACGCCCCUGAAACUAUCGGAGCCGGAUCCUCUGAUUCGCGAAGGGAAGUCACAGGAGCUACAUUAACCUAGGGACUGUCUAUUUAGCAUUUGAUUGUUUUUUAAUUCGAGAACAUUCAAAUUUCCGGAAAAAUAAACAGCUAACACCUGUAUGUCCAAAACCUUCCACCCCUACAACUGUAUGUUUUGUAUUUGAAAGAAAACGGUUCGGGCUAAUCUCUGACAGGUCAGCAACACUCCUAUUCCAAUUCAUUUAAAAAAAAUACUCCUACUCCAAUUGUUCGCUCUCUUCACCUCUUGCAUGAACAAAUUAGGAGGAUCUUUCUUCAUCUACAAAAGGGACAGAUCAAUAGCAAACUGUAAAUCUGGGAAAUUACAUGAACUUUGCAAGCUCCAUGUAGCAAUUAAAAUGACAUGAACAUGGAAAUUACACUAAAAUUCUGACGUGGUUUACAUGUAAGCAUGUAAAAACAGUGUAAAUACAAGACAUAUCAACAUCAGCUGUAAAUCUAGGAAAUUACAUAACCUUCGCAUGCUACAUGUAGCAGGAAAUUACUCUAAAAUAUUGAGGUAGUUCCAAUGUAAAAUCUAGGGUAAUUUCCAGAAACAUUCAGUAGCAGAAACUAAUGACAAUGCAAGUAAAAACGGAUGACACUGAAAAUACCCAAGAGUUACACUGAAAGUGACCAAGAUUUACAGUGUAAAUCCCCCUAUAAAUUACAUAGUACAUACACAGUAAUUACACUGCAAGCACACAAGGAAUUACACUUGUAAAAACUGAUGAGACUACACUAAAUUACAGUGUAAAUGAGCAGGAAUUACAGUGUGAAACCCAAGAAUCCAAAGCUUGUAAUUACAGUGCAAGUGACCAAGAAUUACAUUGUAAAACCUCUAUAAAAUACAUUAUACAUACAAUGUAAUUACACAGCAAGUACCCAUGGCUUACACUGUAAUACCCAAGCUUUACGAUGAAAGUGCUUACAGUGCAAUACCCUCGAAGAAUACAGAAAAAAUACACAGGGAAUUAGAAUGAAAUUAUGCAGGGAUUUGCAGUGAUGAAGCUAUGCGGUAAAACCCCAAUAAAUUACAAUAAAACUUCAGAGCUACUUCACUAUAAUUUACAGUGUUAGUUCCGAGGAUACACUUGGAAUACCCCAACUAUUGGAAGCAAAAAUACAUAAAGUACAACUGUUUAAGUACCCAGCAAAAUUCAUCUAUAUCUAAACGGUUUGUUGCUCAAUAUUAUGUUGAUACUGGCAUUUUUUGUUCAAAUAUGCCAGAUGAGGAGCAUGAUAAAGACAGCAACUGAAGAUGAUCUAUUGAGAUUGUCUCAGGAAGAACUCAUUCUAAAUGUGAGUUACACAUUUGUUUCAGAAUAUGUUGAAAGACACUAUAGGAACAUUCUAAAUACAUAAAUAAUAAUAAAAGCUCACAACAAAUAUGUCGCAGGACACAUUUUCUAUCACCGCACUUCUACAUUCCGAUAUUAUAUUCAGUAAAAGCAAAAUUCAAAUACCACAGAGCUACCAAUCUGAGAAAAGCACAACUAUAGAAAACAAAUUGCCCUUUUGCUUGCAGGUACACUCAGGAGAUGGGCCUAUGAACAUGGAAGCAGAUGAUAAUUUCCUUUCAAGCAUUUUACGUUCUGAAAUGACAAAAACACAAGGGCCACCCAAAGAAAAUACACAAAACAAAAUCAAAAUAGUACAAGAAAAGGAAAACACACUUGAUUCAAAUAGAACUUCAAAAGAGAUUUGUCAAACCCUCCUUCAUCACCAGAUAGUUCCUGCAAAAAUAUAUUAAAAACUCAACAGACUAAAAUUAAAUAAAACAACCUCAAUAACUAAGAACAAUAAAAUAAAGCUAGAUAAGAAGAAAGAAAUAACUACCGUAGACAUAGGAUAAGAACCAUCUUCCGCAAAGUCGUUAGGCACAAUAGGUUCACCCACAGAAUCUGCAUUGUCAAGAGAUGAUACUAACCAAACGUCCAGAUGAGAGACUUUCUGUAGCCUACUCAUUAAAGUAAAACAUAUAAACAGAAUACAUGAAGGAGGAAAAAGAAAAGAAGUAAAAUAGUAGAACAAAAUCUCCAUACACUUCAUUAAAGAAUACACAUGAACAGCUAAUGUAACACUAUUUACUAGACAAAUCUAGAAAGAACACAAAAACAAUCAUCAACCUAAAACAGGACCUCUGCUCAAUACUACUGCAACGGAGACACACUAGCACAAGAAAAGAAGAAAAUAAAAAAGCAAGAAAAUACAUGAAUUGCAGUCCUAAAAGCAUGCUAAUUACACAGCAAAAUCAGAGGUAAAUCAACUGUGACAAAUACGUUGUAAGCCGUACAACAAUUACAAUGUUGAAGCAUUCAAAUUACAGUGUAAAUCUGCAGUAAAUUACAGUGUAAGCCCUCCAAUUCAAAGGUAAAAUCCACUGUAAUCUACCUCGCAAAUACCUACAACAAAUACAAUGUCGAACCAUACAAAUUAUAGUGUAAAACUAUGGCAUACUACAGUGUAAGCCCAGACGAAGAAGCCAAUGUAAUCUAUCUGAAGCAUAUAACAAUUACAGUUCUGAAGCAUAUAAAUUACAGAGAAAAUCUAGGGUAUAUUACAGUGAUGAAACAUUUGAAAGUAAUCUAUCUGACAAAAACUGAAAGCCCUACAACAAUUACAGUGCUGUACCAUGCAAAUUACAGUGUAAAACUGGGAACCAUGCAAUAAUUACAGUCCUGAAGCAUACAAAAUACAGUGAAAAUCUGGGGUAUAUUACACUGUAAAUCUGGGGUUAGUAAACGAAAAUGCAAUUGUAGGCAUAUACAGUGCCAUCUGGGCUAGAAUACACUAUAAUUUUAGGGUACAUUACACUGUAAUUAGAAUAAAGAAGCAUGGGGAUCACACUCCAAUUAUGGGAUACAUUACACUGUAAUUCUGAGGUAUAUUGCACUGACAAAAAUAAGAAAAAUCCAUGGACUAACACUACAUCAGCACUGCAGGCCUAGUACACACUAAUUCAUUGAGAUUCAGGAACCAGGGAAACUGAACACCUACAUCUAACAAGAAAAAUUCAUGAGGGAUUCAGAAACUACAAGAGCAAACAUGUGCAGGUAAGACACAUAAGGAGCCAACAAUUCAGAAACCAUAAUAGAGCAGGAAACUUAAACAAAUAGCACCUACAUCUACAUCACAAAGGGCCGGGCCAAAAUCAAACUAGGAAGGGCAAACAAAUUCAGAGGAAGGAUACACAAAUUAGCUACUACAUCCACAUUGCAUAAGCCAGCAGAAUCCCAGGCCAAGCCAUAUACAACUACAUCUACCGAUAAAAAUGCAGGCGGAAUAGACACCCAGGCCUGCAGAAAUAAAAUGGACAGGGGAAUCCACCACUACAACUACAACUUCGCCUACCUCUACAUCUACAGCAGAGGAAACAAAUCAGCAGGGGUGAAAACGACCACAACGACCAGAUGACCUAGAACACCCGAUGACUUACAGAACAAAUCACCCAUCUCAGGCAAGUAGAAGGGGAGCAAAAUGGCGGACUACAACAUGGCCGCAACAUGCACCUGCCACGGAUCCAAACAAGAAACUCAUCCUAGAUUUUGAAGCUACACAGCCACAACACAAGCAAAAUCAUACCGGGGAGGGCGAGAGACAAGAACAACCGACCGCGGCAGCCAGGGAUCAAAGAGAAAGGGAAGAGAAAUCAAGAUCGAGCGGUGGAAUAUCUCGGAAUCGACAUGAACAGAAGGAAUUGCCUCCUCUGCUCCGCCACUCGAACUCUUUCUCUCUCCCCUCGGCAUUAUCUAAACAGAGCCACCAAAUGAAAGAGGAAACGACACCCACUCCUAAAUACAAAAAGGAAAAAAAAUCAAUAGUGUCGGGCCAGGGCGACGGUAACGGGCUGAGACACAAAACCGCGCCCGACAAUAAAACCAACCGGAACAAAACAGAACCUAGCGCGAAUCUCCGCACGAAAACGGACGAACAUAGAUUUGAAUGACAAUGAAUUGGAAAACACUCAACUGUAAAAUAGCAAAUCCGUUAACCUAACUUCCCUUCCCUCUAGGUCAAUAAACAGUGCUCGUCUUAAUUUUCAAAAGACUGGCUUCAGUUUUUACAAAAUCAACUUCUAUUCGUGACAUACCAAUUUCAAUUCUCAAAAGACUCAUUUCGAUUUAUUUUUUUUGAACUCAUUUCACUUUUAACAAAAAUCUAUUUCAACUCUUUUCUACACAAGAAGAGUACUGUAGCUCCUGACUUUCCUCGUACAAGUCAGAGGAUCCGGCUCCGAAACUUUCCCCAAUCCUCAAGCCUGAGCUCGCUCACGAACACGAAAAUCAGCGGCGACAGAGAUUUUGGAUCGGUGCGGCGGUGCGGCUGAGCAAAGGCAGCGGCUGGGCUGAGGUACGGCUCCGAUCCACGCCCCCUUCUCCCCGGUCUCCUCCCUCCCUCCCACAUUUGUUUCCCGGCGGCGCGUGCGGAUAGCGGGGAGCUCCAGCUGCGGGGAACGCGGAGAUCUCCGGCGGCGGGGCACGCAUCUCCCCGGAACGGGGAGCGCCCCUCCUACUCCGUCGAGCGUGGCGGGGAACACAUCUUGCUCUGUUCUCUCUCUGUAUGUGGCCUAACUUCCGUCUCUGUCGAUUUUCCUUCAGCUAGCAGGGAGAAGCAAUGCUGGUAGCACCGAACCGGCGAGGAGAAGUAGCAGCGCACUCUUCGUCUGCGGUGGACAACAUCGCCCCCAGCGGCGGGUCUUCGCCGGCCGCGUCGGCCAUCGUCGCGCAGGCUGUUUCCGGGUCGCACGUCGUCAAGAUAGACGGCUACUCCCGCAUCAAGGGGCUUGGCAACGGCAAAUACAUCGCAUCGGAGUCUUUCACCAUCGGAGGCCAUCGAUGGUGUAUGCGCUACUACCCAGACGGCUGUCAGACUGAAGACGCAUAUUGGAUAUCCAUCUAUCUGCAGCAUAGUACUGAUCCAACUGAUGCUAGUGAAGUCAAAGCAGAGUUCAAGAUGAGUUUGCUUGACCAGGACAGGCAACCAGUGGCAUUGCGCGGCAGAUGCAUACACACCUUCUCCAGCAAAGAACGUGCCUGGGGCUUCCGUCAGUUCAUCAAAAGAAAGGACCUGGAGGAAUCCCCUUACCUUAAGGAUGAUGUUUUCAGCAUCAGGUUUGAUGUCACCGUGUCAAAGGGGAUCUUCACCGAGCCAAUCCUACCCCAUGUGGUGGUGCCACCGUCUAACAUGCACCAGCAUCUUGGACAACUGCUCUCGGCCGGCGAGGCGGCCGAUGUUACCUUCGAGGUCGGAGGCGAGACAUUUGCCGCGCACAGGUGCAUACUCGCAGCUCGUUCGUCGGUCUUCAAGGCGGAGCUCCUCGGCCCCAUGAAGGAGAAGACCGCAACUCGCGUCUGAUCGACGACAUGGAAGCCAUGGUGUUCAAGGCUUUGCUCCACUUCAUCUACACCGAUUCGCUGCCCGCGAUCGACGAGGGCGACGUGGCGGCGAUUGCUCAGCAUUUGCUGGUAGCGGCUGACAGGUAUGAUAUGGAGAGGCUGAAGCUAAUCUGCGAGGGGAAGCUGUGCGAUCACAUCUGCAAAAGCACGGUGGCGACUUCGCUGGCGUUGGCGGAGCAGCAUGGCUGUGGUGCUCUUAAGAAGGCAUGCUUGAAGUUUCUGACGUCUGAAGGUAACCUGAAGGCAGUGAUGGCAUCUGAUGGAUAUGAGCACCUGAGCAACAGUUGCCCAUCUGUUCUCUAUGAACUGGUCGCCAAGCUUGCUCCUUGAUCUCCUUGAGUCUAAACCCCACAAGAUCUGGAUAUUUAUUCUGCUAUUUAUAUUUUCAGAAGUGAUGAUAAUCCCACUACUGGUAGUCUGUUAAGGACGGUAAAGUCUAUGUGAAAACCAAUGUUGCUUGCGUUUGCUGCAUCUGUUUGAGCCCAAUCGUACUUUCUACAAAUAUGAAAACGCUUUAGAAAAUUCUAAACAUAAAUUUAGAAAAUUGAAAAUGUGAGAAAUUAUUGUUUAAUCUUUGUGUUCUGAAAAUUAAUGGAAAGAUUUAGAAAUCCAAAGGAUGAAUCUCGGAAAAAAGGAAAAGCCUCAAUUUUUUUAAUUAUUAGAUUUUCCAUCAACAUAGCCGAUCCAAGCCCGGGUAAAGGAGGAGGGUUGUGAUAGGUUUGGCGAGCCAACGUAAAAACUCAGCCACUCUUAUGGAGAUGAAAUCCAAAAGAUUUUCGUUGGGGCGUAACCCUCUCAGCGACGCGUCACAUCGGAACCCGGGUGUGGUGGAAAAUAAGCAAGGGCCGGGCCGUCAUCCCUCAGGUGGAGCUCCAUAUCUUGAUCCGGAUACGGUGGCAAAUGAGCGAGGAUCGGGCCGUCGCAUCCUUAGUGGCGCGCUACAUCGGCGCCCGGAUGUAGUGGAAAAUGAGCAAGGGUCUUCGCAUUUGACUCGACGAGUGCGAAGGGUAAAGAAGCUAGCCGAUCCUAGGAGGAUUCGCUUAGGUAGCUGGAACGUAGGGUCUCUCACAGGAAAGCUUCGGGAGCUAGUUGAUGCAGCGGUGAGGAGAGGUGUUGAUAUCCUUUGUGUCCAAGAAACCAAAUGGAGAGGACAGAAGGCGAAGGAGGUGGAGGAUACCGGCUUCAAGUUGUGGUACACGGGAACGGCUGCAAACAGAAAUGGCGUAGGCAUCUUGAUCAACAAGACCCUCAAGUAUGGAGUGGUAGAUGUCAAGAGACGUGGGGACCAGAUUAUCCUUGUCAAGCUGGUAAUUGAGGACUUGGUUCUCAAUGUUGUCAGCGUAUAUGCCCCGCAAGUAGGUUACAAUGAGAACACCAAGAGGGAGUUCUGGGAAGUCCUGGAAGACAUGGUUAGGAGUGUACCGAUUGGUGAGAAGCUCUUCAUAGAGGAGACCUCAAUGGCCACGUGGGUACAUCUAACACAGGUUUUGAAGGGGCGCAUGGGGGCUUUGGCUAUGGCAUCAGGAAUAAAGAAGGAGAAGAUGUCUUAAGUUUUGCUCUAGCCUACAACAUGAUUGUAGCUAACACCCUCUUUAGAAAGAGAGAAUCACAUCUGGUGACUUUUAGUAGUGGCCAGCACUCUAGCCAGAUUGAUUUCAUCCUCUCGAGAAGCGAAGAUAGGCGUGUGUGCCUAGACUGUAAGGUGAUACCUGGAGAGAGUGUUGUACCCCUGCAUAAGCUGGUGAUUGCUGACUUCCGCUUUCGGAUUCGUGUCCAGCGGGAUAAGAGUGCCAAAGUCGCUAGAACGAAGUGGUGGAAGCUCAGGGGGGAGGUAGCUCAGGCGUUCAAGGAGAGGGUCAUUAAGGAGGGCCCUUGGGAGGAAGAAGGGGAUGCGGACAAAGUGUGGAUGAAGAUGGUGACUUGCAUUCGUAAAGUGGCUUCGGAGGAGUUUGGAGUGUCCAGGGGAAGGAGAAGCGAAGAUAAGGAUACCUGGUGGUGGAAUGAUGAUGUCCAAAAGACGAUUAAAGAAAAGAAAGAUUGCUUCAGACGCCUAUACCUAGAUAGGAGUGCAGACAACAUAGAGAAGUACAAGAUGGCGAAGAAGGCUGCAAAGCGAGCUGUUGGUGAAGCAAUGGGUCGGGCAAUAUGAGGACCUCUACCAACGGUUAGGCACGAAGGAAGGCGAAAGGGACAUCUAUAAGAUGACCAAGAUCCAAGAGAGGAAGACGAGGGAUAUUGGCCAAGUCAAAUGCAUCAAGGAUGGAGUAGGCCAACUCUUGGUGAAGGACGAGGAGAUUAAGCAUAGAUGGCGGGAGUACUUCGACAAGUUGUUCAAUGGGGAAAAUGAGAGUUCUAACAUUGAACUGGACGACUUCUUUGAUGAGACCAGCAUGCGUUUUGUGCGGCGAAUCCAGGACUCUGAGGUCAAGGAGGCUUUAAAAAGGAUGAAAGGAGGCAAGACGAUGGGCCCUGAUUGUAUCCCCAUUGAGGCGUGGAAAGGUCUCGGGGACAUAGCGAUAGUAUGACUAACCAAGCUUUUCAAGCUCAUUUUUCAGGCAAACAAGAUGCCAGAAGAAUGGAGACGGAGUAUAUUAGUACCCAUCUUCAAGAACAGGGGGGUGUUCAGAGUUGUACUAAUUACUGUGGAAUUAAGCUGAUGAGCCGUACAAUAAAGCUAUGGGAGAGAGUCAUUGAGCACCGCUUAAGAAGAAUGACAAGCGUGACCAAAAAUCAGUUUGGUUUCAUGCUUGGGAGGUCGACCAUGGAAGCCAUUUUCUUGGUAUGACAACUUAUGGAGAGAUAUAUGGAGCAAAAGAAGGACUUGCAUAUGUUGUUCAUUGACUUGGAGAAGGCCUAUGAUAAGAUACCGCAGAAUGUUAUGUGAUGGGCCUUGGAGAAACACAAAGUCCCAGCAAAGUACAUUACCCUCAUCAAGGACAUGUACGAUAAUGUUGUGACAAGCACUACUAGAGAAAACUCUAGCAGUAGCGCGGGUAAAAUGCCUAUCAGUAGCGCGCGGAACCGCGCUACUAGUAAGGCGCUACAGCUAAAGGUUAGCAGUAGCGUGGGUUAGACCACGCUACUGCUAUAUCGACUUAGUAGUAGCGCUUCUACCAGCACGCGCUAUUACUAUUAUUCUGUAUUUUACUUCUUUUUUAUUUCAUGUUGUAUUCAUACACCUUCAUACAAGUUUUCAUAUCGCGGCAAUUUAGAGAUUUUUUUACAUCAUAAUGAGUUAUUACAUCACUGGGAGAAAGAAUUGUGGACUAGUUUCAAGUGGAUGGACAUCCACUUGAAACUAAUCCGCGGUUCUUUCUCCCAGUGAUAUAAUAAAUAUCAUCAUCAUCAUAUCAUUAACAACUUAUCAUCAUAAUACAUCAUUGUCAUAUAACACCUCCUCAUGAUCAUCGUUUUCAUCAAUGAGACAUCACAUAGCAAGUUGGUCACUAGUCAUAAUCACAACUACUCCUCAUCAUCAACUCUCAUAAACAUAUUGUACCUCAUUGGACCUACUACAUUCUCUUAGGACCUACUAUAUUCUCUUAGGUAAAAUAGCAUAAAACAAGAUAGCCCCUGACUCUCCAUUAUGGAGAAUGGAGAUUAUCCUGUCUCCAAUUCUUGCCUUUCACACAACAUUGCUUCCAAGAACCUCCGUCCAUGCAUUUUUUUCAUUCUUUGAUUAUCAUGUGUUCACUGGUUUUAGAAAUCUGGUAUGGACAGGUGAGAUUCGUAGGAUGACCUGGCUGUAUGUUCAAAACAUCAAGGCGACCAUUCUGAUACAUCAAAUGAGGCACACAAUCCAUCGGGAUUUUCUGUUGAAAAACAUAGUAAUAACUUCAUAGUUAGCAAUGAUGUACUAGUUUUAGAAGUAUGCAAAAGAUGCACAGAUGUCGUAAUAGUAAAAAAUCUUACCAGGGCAUCUCCAUCGAAGUUACCGUGGUUCAACACGUGCACUAGUGGCACGUAUUGACCAUAAUUUGAAGGAGUAUGAUAAUAGGUAUUGUAAUUCUCAAGGUCAGUACAAAAUGCGACCAGAUGAUUUUUCUCCUUAUAAGUUAAUUCGGAGCCAUCGGUGUAGUGGGUUUUGUCUACCAUCUUCCGCACAUUGUUUGAAGAAUGAAAAUAAGCUGUCAAUGGAAAUAAGCUGUCAAAUAUUUUGAAAUAAACAAUAUAAAUUAGUUAAUAACUAUGUUUGAGAAACUCACAUAGCGGUAGAAUCAGAAGCGUAUCAACAAGGACCCAAAUGUCCAUAUUGUCUUGCUCGAUGUCAGGAUCACCAAGAUCCAUGGUGAUAAUCAUAUCCUCAUAAAAACCAUACAUCUUACAAAGUGCUUCCCAAUUUUGGCAACCAAAAUGGGUUACGCUUUGAGAAUUGUACAGAUUUACUUCAAAAUCCAUAUCAUGAUGGGUCCUUAGGUGUAUUUUCUUUGUUUCGAAAUUUUCAUGGUCUUCAAACCCAUCCUCUCCAAGACAUAGCUUCUUGCAUGGCAUGGGAUGAGCUAGUCGAAAUGUAAAAGAUGAAAAUUACACGUUGAAAUAGUUGAAGUCAUGCUUAAUUACGAAAUGCACACUUGUCGUCAUUGCGUACCGUUUCAACAUCGAAGGUCUCCUCGAGCUUAAUGCUGAAGCGCCGAUCUUCGUCCAGGUGAUGCCUGUCGCACAGACCUCGGUCGUCGUUGCACCAGUCGCACUCCUCCGGGAGACUUUCGUCGUCCGAGUACGACAUUUCCUAUGUUCAUAAUUUAAAGAUUUAACUUGUACAAUUAAAUAUAUGUACUACAAAAACUAAAUUAGAUCAUUAUUAUUCAUCAUGGGUUGACUAUUGGUCUGUCGAGUCUUUUCUUGAAAACUCUCAGCUCACGUGGAUUCUUCGGCCUCGACAGACUUAAAGUCAACCCGAAAUAUCGUUUAAUUAUCUUUCUAGAAAAUCCAGGCCACUCGAUAUUUCCUACAUAUUCUAGCACAAGUCAUGCCAAAAUUAACGGAAAAUUUCGGCAUGACCUUUGCUAAAAAAGGACAUAUCGAGCGCCUAAAAUUUGCCGGAACGGAUAUUAAUUAACACUCCGGCAAAACAUAGGCCACUCGGAGGUGUAACCUACAAACAUGACCGGCCACUUGGGCAACCACAUAUCCUAAUUGAGCAACACAAGAUAUACAUGUUUUUAUCUACAUCAUAUCUUACAGGACUCAUAUUGACAUGAAGAUUUGGCUGGUCUCACCUCGAGGUCGGAGGGGGUCGGUGACGGGGACGACGGCGGGGAUGAUGGAGGGGCUCCUAGAUUUCUGUUUAAGUUAUCACUAAUACAUCCCGAAUAGUAUCGACGACGAGGAUGCGGGAUAGGCAUCGUCGACGUCGGUGCGGGUAUAAUUGCUUAAACUAAAAAAAUAACAACAAAUGUGACAUGUUCAACUAGUUCUAUUAAUUCAACUAGUUCUUACUAAAAAUAAACUUACUAUAAAUAAAAAUAAACUAGUUCUUUCUAAAAAUAAACUAGUUCAACUAGUUAUAUUAAUUUUUCUUACUAAAAAUACAUUAGUUCUAUUAAUUCAACUAGUUCUUACUAAAAAUAAACUAGUUCAACUAGUUUUAUUAAUUUACUUACUAAUUAUUUUAAACACUUACUAAAAACAGUAAAAAAAACUACAUUAUACAAUAGUAAAAAAACUACAGUAAAAAACAGAAAAAAAAGAGAUGGAGGGAGGAGGGGAAGGGANNNNNNNNNNNNNNNNNNNNNNNNNNNNNNNNNNNNNNNNNNNNNNNNNNNNNNNNNNNNNNNNNNNNNNNNNNNNNNNNNNNNNNNNNNNNNNNNNNNNNNNNNNNNNNNNNNNNNNNNNNNNNNNNNNNNNNNNNNNNNNNNNNNNNNNNNNNNNNNNNNNNNNNNNNNNNNNNNNNNNNNNNNNNNNNNNNNNNNNNNNNNNNNNNNNNNNNNNNNNNNNNNNNNNNNNNNNNNNNNNNNNNNNNNNNNNNNNNNNNNNNNNNNNNNNNNNNNNNNNNNNNNNNNNNNNNNNNNNNNNNNNNNNNNNNNNNNNNNNNNNNNNNNNNNNNNNNNNNNNNNNNNNNNNNNNNNNNNNNNNNNGGAGGAGGAGGGAGGAGGAGGGAGGGGAGGAGGGAGGAGGGAAGAGGAGGGACGGAGGGAGUACCUCGGUGGAGGAGCAGCGCGGCGGCGGCGGACGACGGGUUCGGCGCGGGCGAGAGUGAGUGAGAGGGUCGGGCGCGUGGUGAGGAUAAGGUAAGUAAGUAGUAGCGCGUUUUCGAGAUACGCGCUACUGGUAUGGAACGUAGCAGUAGCGGUGGUUGCAUAUACGUGCUACUUCUAAGUGGGGCUAGCCAUCUGCGCCCAAUACAAACAUAGCAGCAGUGCGUUUUCCUAGAACACGCUACUGCUAAAGUAGUAGCAGUAGCACGGUUUACUUAAACACGCUACUACUAAGUAGCAGUAGCGCACUGUUUUGCCCAGCGCUACUGCUAAGAUGCUGUGUAUAAGGUUUUCCCUAGUAGUGAAGUGUUCGAACAAGUGAUGUCGACACUGAUGACUUCCCGAUUAAGAUAGGACUGCAUCAGGGGUCAGCUUUGAGCCCUUAUCUUUUUGCAUUGGUGAUGGAUGAGGUCACAAGGGAUAUACAAGGAGAUAUCCCAUGGUGUAUGCUCUUUGCGGAUGAUGUGGUGCUAGUUGACGAUAGUCGGACGGGGAUAAAUAGGAAGUUAGAGUUAUGGAGACAAACUGUGGAAUCGAAAGGGUUUAGGCUUAGUAGAACUAAAACCGAGUACAUGAUGUGCGGUUUUAGUACUACUAGGUGUGAGGAGGAGAAGGUUAGCCUUGAUGGCUAGGUGGUAGCCCAGAAGGACACCUUUCGGUAUUUGGGGUCAAUGCUGCAGGAGGAUGGGGGUAUUGAUAAAGAUGUGAACCAUCGAAUCAAAGCCGGAUGGAUGAAGUGGCACCAAGCUUCUGGCAUUCUCUGUGACAAGAGAGUGCCACAAAAGCUAAAAGGCAAGUUCUACAGGACGGCAGUUCGGCCCGCAAUAUUGUAUGGCGCUGAGUGUUGGCCGACUAAAAGGCGACAUGUUCAACAGUUAGGUGUGGCGGAGAUGCGUAUGUUGAGAUGGAUGUGUGGGCACAUGAGGAAGGAUCGAGCCCGGAAUGAUGAUAUACGAGAUAGAGUUGGGGUAGCACCAAUUGAAGAGAAGCUUGUCCAACAGCGUCUGAGAUGGUUUGGGCAUAUUCAGCGCAGGCCUCCAAAAGCUCCAGUGCAUAGCGGGCGGCUAAAGCGUGCGGAGAAUGUCAAGAGAGGGGGGUAUACCGAAUUUGACAUGGGAGGAGUCCGUUAAGAGAGUCCUGAAAGAUUGGAGUAUCACCAAAGAGCUAGCUAUGAACAGGGGUGCGUGGAAGCUUGCUAUCCAUGUGCCAGAGCCAUGAGUUGGUUGCGACAUCUUAUGGGUUUCAUCUCUAGCCUACCCAACUUGUUUUGGACUAAACACUACUGGAAUCUGGCAUUUUGCCGUCCGCCACCUCUUUGCUGGCUGCCAGCUGACGGCAAAGAGGUCCUUUGUCGUCCGCUUUGAGGCGUACGACAAAGAGGUCCUUCGCCAUCAGCUAGUUCUUUGCCGUCAGCUGGCGGAUGGCAAAGAGGUGGGUGGGGUCCAAUGGAGGUCUAAACCGUAACGACGAAGAAGAAGAGUAUUUUAGUUUAGUUUUAGUUUAUUUAGUUUAGUUUAUUUUAGAUUAUUUUAGUUUUAGUUUAGAAGAAGAAGAAGAGUAUUUUAGUUUAGAAGAAGAAGAAGAUUAGUUUUAGUUUAGAAGAAGAAGAAGAAGAGUAUUUUAGUUUUAGUUUAUUUUAGAUUAGUUUUAGUUUCUGUUUUAGUUUUAGUUUUAGUUUAUUUUAGAUUAGUUUUAGUUUAGUUUUAGUUUCUGUUUGAGUUUUAGUUUUAGUUUUAGUUUAGAAGAAGGAGGAGGAGGAGGAAGGAAGAGGAGGAGGGAGAAGAAGAAAGAAGAAGAAGAAGAAGAAGAAAGAAGAAGAAGAAGAAGAAGAAGAGAAAGAAGAAGAAGAAGAAGAGGAGGAGGAGGAGAAGAAGACGAAGAAGAAGACGAAGAAGAAGAAAGAGGAGAGGAGGAGGAGAAGAAGAAGAAACUAAAAAAAAACUAAAUCGACACCCCGACACCCCGACCACCGACACCCCGACACCUGACACCCCGACCACCGACACCCCGACCCCGACCACCGACACGCCGACCCCGAAACCCCGACACCCUGAGACCCCGACAAUCGACACCCCGACCCCAGCUAUGCCGUCCGCCAGCAGACGGCAAAGAUUCAAAGGUCUUUGCCGUCUGCUAGCAGACGGCAUAGCUGGCCACGUGGCAGCUUCCCAAUGCUGGCCUAGCUGAGCUCUUUGUCGUCUGCGAGCGGACGGCAAAGAGCGCCGUUAACCCCUUAACGGCUCUCACCCCACCCCAUUGUCGUCCGCUCUCUUUGCCGUCUGCUGGCCUCAGACGGCGGACGGCAUAAUCCUUUGCCGUCCGUUUCCAGGAAGCGGACGGCAAAGAAGGCCUUUGCUGGCACGUGUUCAGACGGGCGGUUUGCCGUCCGCUGGCUGACGAGAAAGGACUUUGCCGUCCGGGAUCUAUACCUUUGUCGUCUGCCAUGGCAGACGGCAAAGAAGCUGAUUCCAGUAGUGAAAGGCUUUGUUGUUGUUGUUGUUGUUGUUGUUGUUGUUGUUGUUGUUGUUGUUGUAUUAGAUUUUCCAAUUUUCAGUACUUACCACAUGGUUGCACGGUGCUUAAUUCAAAUGUGAGGUUAUGAGUUGUUAUUACAUUGCUUUAUUCAUAGUAGCUGCGCAAAUGCUCUGGCAAUAAAUUUAUUAUUUAUUAUACAUAGAAAAUGUUUGCUAAUUUUGCAUUAGCAACGCAUUUAUUUGUUUCUUAGCACAUCAAAAUUGUUUACUUAUAGGAAGAUGAUUUAUGUAAACUAGCACAUAUGCCCGUGCGUUGCAACGGGAGAAAAAAUAAAUAUGCAUUUAAAGUUAGUGAGAAUUAAAUAUGCAAGCAAAACCCUGUGUGCACGUGAAAGAGGAACAUUUAGCUUCUCGGUUUCGCCGGACGUGAAGUAAUCAAUCCGCUAUUUUUCUAUUCGUUGAUCUAGGGCAUUUAAGAGUUUUGUUACGUCAUAGUACGCCAGAGAAGGCCUAUGAAUUAUUAAAUCUACUUUUCCUUUCAAUCGAGGAGAUUUUAAGGUAUGAAGUUUUUGAAUAUUGUAGGAAACGUGAACCAUUUAUAAAAGCCUGCACAGGUUUUUGAAAAAUAUGUACACUUUCAGAAAAACCCUAACCAAAUUUGAAACAGGAACAUCUUUUAAAAUUCACCAAAAUUUUAUGAAAUACCAAACUUUUUUUAAUAAAAACAUGAACAUUAUCUGAAUUUGUGAACAUUCUUUUGAAAGGGGAACAUGUGUUGAAAAUUCAUAACAUUUUCGAAAAUGUUAUCUUUUAUACGUGAACAUUAUUUUGAAUUAUGAAAUUUCACUAAACCAAGAAUAUUUUUUGAAUUUGGAGCAUUUUUUAAAAUGCCACUUUCUUUCUGAAAUCACGAAAAAAUUGAAAACAUUUUUUUUGAAAAAAUGGGAAGCUUUUUCAAGUUCUGGGUAUUUUUUAAAAUAGCAACAAAAUUUUGGAAUUCUGAACAUUUUCCAAAAUUUGAAUUUUUUUGGAAAUUCUGAACGUUUUUUGAGAAUUUUGAAUUUAUGAAAUAAAUUCUGUAAGAAAAAUAAACUUGGAAAGAAAAAAUAGAUAAGGAAGGAGAAUAAAAAUAGAAGUAGAACACAUAAAUAAAGAAAAAUGGGCCAACUCAUUAUUGGUUGUCAUGUGCGAAGCUUCGACUAUUUACCGACAUAUGCGGAAAAUAGAAUUUUCUCAGCUGCAUGUGCAGAAAAAUAAGUGGGCUGGUUUCGCUGGGCCACAGCGUGCGGCCCAUGCACGAAUUCUGGAAAAGGCUUCUUUUCUAGCAGACAAACACGUAAGAAUUUAGUACUGCCUCAGAUAGAAAAAAAAUUCUUCGGUGGUGAACGGAUGAAAAAAUUGGUGAAACGCACCUUGCUUUAUUAGUAGGAAUAGAUAUAGAUAUAGAUAUAGAGGUAUAGAUAGAUUAUGUGCUUUUGUACAAUGUACUAUAUGUAGAUCAUAUCUUGGCCUAUUACCAGACCAAUCAACCAAAUAUAGAUGCACUCUCCAUCACUCACUUUUUCCCAAGGGCUAAUAGGCUGAUUAGACAUUCCCAAUACCUUCCUUAUCUCCUCAUGAAUCCAAGGAAACAAACGAUGCCAACUUAUAAAUGUAGGUGUCAAUAUUAUUCUAUGCAUGUGCACACAAACAUUUCUUCAAUGAUACACUCGUCCACAGUAUCAUGUGUUCUUGAACUAGAGUGACUAAUACUACUUUUGUCUCGUUCAUUGGACCAAUUGUUUCAGACCAUAAUCUAGCCCGCCCAUCGAUCUCCAACCGACCACAAUGGCAAAAUGAGAAGAUAUGGAAGGCAUCUAGAUUCUUCAUCUUUGGUAGUGCAAUAGAUUUUGACAGAGUUUCGGGAAAAUCCACCACCAACAGAUGGUUUCCACCAAGUAAAACAUCAAGGCGGCUAGAUUAUGAGGAAAAAGAAGAUCACUAGAUCAGCAAGGGUGGAAGAUAAUAGGUAGAAUUUCUAGAUAUGUGAAAUACAUGUAUUUUCCAAAUAGAAUAUUCUAUACAUGUUAAUUUUUUAGAGUAAAUGGCAACAUAAAAGGUGGGCCUAGUUUCUAUCACAUACUAAUGCAUGUUGAUUCUAGAGUAGUAACAAUUUUGUGAGUUAAUAAAGACGCAUGUUUCUUAUUGAGAAGAUCCUAUAGUGGAUAAUGGCUAUACAUUACUAAUUUUUCAAAUUGCUUAUGGAUGGGAUCUUUAUUCACUCAUCUGAUAAUCCCACCGCUAUAGGCAAAUAUGCAUUGGUUGAUGUUCUCAGAUUCAGUUCUGCACUCAUAACACUGACUGGGUAGGAACAAAUGGAAAUAUUGCCAGAGACUGAAGGCGCAAUGGCCUAACACCACAACACUACAACACUCAAGAGAUCUCAUAAUUUUGGUGACUAUAAAUUAUAAACUAAAUCAACAAUUUAGCAAAAGCAUUAGACACAAACAUAAACUAUAAUUCAUCUUAUAGCUAAGAUAAAAAUAAAAACAAGUAUGAAACAAAAAUAUCACAUAACGAGGACAAUGGAAACACAACAGUGGGAGAAAUGACCCGGUAGGAAGGUAGGUUCCCAGGAUUUUUGUAAACCAUGAUGAGUAAAUGGACCGUUGUGAGUGACGACGUGAAAUCGUUGAAAUUAACCCUCGUUCAAUCACCCUGGAUAUAUUUAGAUUAGUGGGUGAAGGUUGGGUUAACAUAUGUAUAUCAAUUGUUUAUACUAAACAUUUUUACUUUUCAUACUUAUAUCUCAUUCUCUCAAAAUUUAAUCUUAACUGGUAUCAUUUUGUAUUAUAUUCAAUAAAAUUAACAUGUCAUAUGAAAGAUAAAAAUUAGGGUAUUAUAAUUCUAUUACAUAUGUAUUAUAGUUUUAUUACAUAAUUUCAAUGUUAAUGGUGAAAAAUGCACACCAAAGUUGAAGCCUAUAUCAUGAGAAAAUGCACACCAAAGCAAAGCCCCACAACCCUUAAUUAAAUAAAGAACUGUAUCUAAGUCAUAAGUACAACCAAAAACAGACCUACCUUAGCCUACCUAAAGUUACAUGAGGGUGUUAAUCCAAGCCAAGAGCUUCUGCUCGGUCCUAUCUCUAAGCCUAUGUGCAAGAAGAUUAAUGUCAAAAUAUCCCCAUAGAUUGCGCCACUCAGAUGACUAUCAAAUAUAUAUGUAUGUCUUGGUUAUUUUUGUUGUAAAUGUUUGUUAAGAGCUCUAAAGCUACCAGAGGUUUCUAGUGUGCAUGAUUGUCUAUUUUUUAUGCAAAUAAAUAGAAGUGAUAAUUAUCAAUGUAAUAAAUAGAAAACCCUAGAAUAUUAUCAAUAAGAAAUUUUUCCUUGAAUGGUUACCUUUCUCGUUUGUUGGCUCUUUUCUUGAAAAAGAUGGCUUUCAUAUUCCUGGAUUCAACAAGCACCAAGCAUCAAAUGCCCAAUUUUACGAUUGGUCUUGAAGUAGCAUUAGUGAGCUCAACUCGCAUGAAAUACAUAUACCCCCCCCCCCCUCCCUCUAAUAGUGAGGUGGAUAACCAACUAUAUUUGAGAAAAACUACAAGUUGCUCACUGGUCAUAUAAACCGCAAUUCCACAGCAUCACUCUAUCCCCAAUGGGGCACACUGUGAGGGAGAGGUCUUUCCCCUGAUUUUCUUCCCGUGAAGGAGAUAGACCUUUUUUUAUCCAAGAAUAUGUAGAUAGACUUAUAUGUGGUGGGGUUCGCGGGAUGGCAUUGGUGGGUAAUUUUGCUGGCUUUAAAGUAGAUCUAAUGGCUGUAAUUUUCCGAUGCACAAAAUUAAUGGCUAGACAUUUGAUGCAUACGAUUGGAUGGUCGAUAUUUCACCCGCAGUUCACGGACACAUCCAAAGUUAUUUUCAGUUUUUAGUUUCACAAAAAUUUCAGCACCAACCAAAAUUACCAAAAUUCAGUGAAUUUCAGUUAUUUUGAUUUGCGUUCAGCGAAAGACCGAAAUAUUAACUUGAAAUCAAACAAAUAUUUGAAUGUUUUUUAAAAUAAUUGAGAAAUAUUUGAGUACAUGUGUACUAUUGAAAUUGCUGGAAUAGUUUGGCUGAAAGGUAAAUAUUUCAGUGACUGCUGAAAUUAAUGAAAUUCAGUAAAUUUCAUUGAAAUCUCACUGGAAGUGAAAACCAUACUCUGCAUCCACUGCUCCAUAGCCAAGGAGAGCAUCGUGAGUCAAUCGUGAGGGAGAGGUCUUUCCCCUGAUUUUCUUCUCGAGAAGGAGAUAAACCAUCUUCUUUAUCGAAGAAUAUGGAGAUAGACUUAUGUAAUGGUGGGGUUCGGGAUGGCAUUGGUGGGUAAUUUCGCUGGCUUUAAAGUAGAUCUAAUGGCUGUAAUUUUCUGAUGCACAAAAUUAAUGGCUAGAUUAUUCUGAUUUUUGUUGGAUUUUGUAGCUUAUUUAUCUUUUUUCUAGUUUUCCCGCAAAAUACUUUUAUAUAUAAAUAAUAGAUGCUCUUGGAUUUCUAUUUUUUUAGUAGGUGCUUUAUGCACCUGGGCGGAGGGAUAUAUAUCGAUCUAGGCCAUACAAUUUGCAGCGGGUUGACAUCGAUCAUGGCCAUGGCCACUAGGGGCUUUGAAACGGCGGCGAGCAUGGCCUGCCAAAACGCCACCAGUAGUAGUUAGACUCUUGGUGUUUGCCAACAGAAAUAAAUUAGUUACAUCUCGCGGUGCGUCGUUUCCUGUCUCUCUCGCCUCCUCGAGUCCCCGCGCGACGUAAUUUACGCCGGCGAGUCGUACGCAUGCGUGCGUCUCCUCGUCGCUCGCGGCAGCAAGUAAAUUGUACGCGACGAUUGCUCGGGCGUCGGGCAGGAUGAUGAAUGCACAGCGACCAUCACCGUAUACGGUACUCCACUAUAUAAGAACAUCCAUGCGUGGUAUCGCAACUCCAUACCCACAGGACACAUCUCGGUAGCUGCUGCCUCCACUCACAAUGUCCUCUUCGUCCUCCGUGGGCAACAUCGCUCCCAACGACGGAUCGUCGUCGCCGCCUGCGUCGGCCAUCGUCGCGCAGGCCAUGUCCGGGUCGCACGUCGUCAAGAUAGACGGCUACUCCCGCACCAAGGGGCUUGGCAAUGGCAAAUACAUCAAGUCCGAGACUUUCACCAUCGGAUGCCAUCCCUGGUGUAUGCGCUACUACCCAGACGGCUGUGUGACUGAAGACGCAGAUUGGAUAUCCAUCUAUCUGCACUAUAGUACUGCUCCAACUAAUGCUGGUGAAGUCAAAGCAGAGUUCAAGAUUAGUUUGCUUGACCAUGACAGGCAACCAGUGGCAUUGUACAGCAGAUGCAGCCAAGGUUUUGGUUACCAGUCGAAAUUUCAAGAUUUCCCAUGGUUACCGCGUAUUUCCGUGCCCCUCGGUAAAUCCACAUACCGAGCAAAAAAUACCAUUAUUUUUGAAAAUUUUGAAUUUUAACGCUCGAUUUGUAGUAAAGUGCCUAGGAUCUAAUUAAUGCAAGGAGAGUUGAUUCUGACGUGUCCAUAGCAACCUAGUUCCUGUUUUGACAGGUCUUUGGUUUGAAUGUUCGUUCAUUCAUUUAUUUGAAUUCAAAAUUCAACUAUAAAAUUCGUUUGAAAUAUUCUCGGUAUUUCUCGGUAUUUUCCGGUAACCGUGGUAACCACGUUUAUCAGUCACCCUCGGUAAAAUUGCCUCAUUCGGUAACCAAAACCUUGGAUGCAGCAGCCAGCUACGCACAUUCUCCACGAAAGAUACAGGAUGGGGCUUUGGUCAAUUCAUCAAGAGAAAGGACUUGGAGGAAUCCCCUUACCUUAGGGAUGAUGUUUUCAGCAUCAGGUGCGAUGUCACCGUGUCAAAGGAGAUCUUCACUGAGCCAAUCCCACAGCACGUUGUGGUGCCACCGUCCAACAUGCACCAUCAUCUUGGACAACUACUCUUGGCCGGUGAGGCGGCCGAUGUUACUUUCGAGGUCGGCGAGGAGACAUUCGCUGCGCACAGGUGCAUACUCGCAGCUCGUUCACCGGUUUUCAAGGCGGAGCUCCUUGGCCCUAUGAAGGAGAAGACCGCAACUCGAGUGCUGAUCGACGACAUGGAAGCCAGGGUGUUCAAGGCGUUGCUCCAUUUCAUCUACACCGACUCGUUGCCCGCCAUGGACGAAGGCGGCGCGGCGGAGAUUGCUCAGCAUUUACUGGUGGCGGCUGACAGGUAUGAUAUGGAGAGGCUGAAGCUGAUCUGCGAGGGGAAGCUGUGCGAUCACAUCUGCAAAAGCACGGUGGCGACCACGCUGGCACUGGCUGAGCAGCACGGUUGCGGUGCUCUGAAGAAGGCAUGCUUCAAGUUCCUGAUGUCUCCGGGAAACCUGAAGGUGGUCAUGGAAUCUGAUGGAUAUGAGCACCUGAGGAGCAGUUGCCCGUCUGUUCUGGACGAACUAGUCGCAAAGCUUGCUCCAUGAUCUCUUGGAGUCUAAACUCACUAGACCUGGAUAUUUGUCAUGCUAUUUAUAUUUUCAGAAGUGAUGAUAUCCUAUCCUACUACUGGUAGUCUGUGAAGGACUGUUAAUUCUAUUAAAAUUAAGGUUGCUGACGUUGCUGCAUCUGUUUGAUUCAAACAGUCUUUUCUAGACAGCAACAAAACUUUAUAAAAAAAUGAAAUAUAAACAGAAAUUUGAAAACUGAGAGAGAAACUUCUGUUUAUUCUGAAGAAAUUAUUGCAGAGUUCUCAAAAUUACAGGAGGCAUUUAGAAAUUCUAAGGAAUGUCCUCAAAUUUAAUAAGUUAGCAGAUACUCCCUCCGUCCGGGUUUAUUAGGCCUAAAGACAACUUCUCUUAGACCAAGACACAUAGUAAUUUGCCCACAUUAAUUCUUCCAUUCCACUCCCAAUGCACUCUCUCACAUGCAUGCAGCCAAUAAAAAAGCACGCAUGAAGUGUAUUAAUUUCCUAGUCAUGGCACCAACAACAAUGGUUUUCAAUGCAACCAAUGAAAUGGUUGCAUGCAUGCACCUUUUCAAAGCGAGGCCUUAUAAAAAGGGACAUGCUUGUGAUGCUAAGACCUCUUCCAAUGCAAAGGUGCUUAGCUGAGGUGCUAAAUGCAUUAAAUACCUUAGCAACUCAACUCUCCAAUGCAUAGGUGUUUAGCUUGUUGUUGCUAAGCACACUUUAUUUAAUGAGUUAGCACCUAAAGUCUUUCAUGCAUUGGUCAAAUUGUUUCAUUUAAGUGGUUUGCCUAGGUUCUCGCGCUUGGCAUUGGUUCUUCCUGGGGUCAUCAAAGUGCUAUCUCUCCUCCUUCAAUGUUGUGCCAUGUCAUUUUUUUCGCUUAUUUGGCAUGCUUAGCACCUAUCCACCGUGGAGCACUGGGAAGGGCCUAAGAGGUCUAAUAAACCCGGACGGAGGGAGUAUUUACAGUCUAUUUUAAUCUUAAUUUCAGACUAGCGGUUGUAAUAACAUGGUGCAAUGGUGUUACAUUCAAAUGUGAAGUUAUCAGUCAUUGUUACAUAGUAGUCGUGGUCAAAAGUAUGUGUGCCAAAAAAUUAUUUAAAACAUCUUGCAUAUCCCAAGUGGGUACCGCUUGUGUAACACCCCGGGUGUCAUGCUUCAGUAAGCUCCUAUUAUUUGUGCCACGUCAUCGCAAUUGAUUUUCUAAACCUCACUUUAAUCCAAACCGAAUUCAAUUUCAAAUUUAAAAUAAAGUAAAAAUAAUAUUUAUUCAAACAGUAAAAUAAAAAUGUUCAUCGCAUUAGAAUUAAUCGAUGAGUAACUGUCUUGGUGAAACCAAUUUUUUAUAAAGUGUUUAGGUGCCUUAAAAUGAUUAAAACAGGGGCCAGUGCAAUAUUUUAAAUGCUUUUUAAAUGGUAAAAGUUACAAACUAAUUUAUGUAAGUGCCAAAGUUAUUAUGGCAGUGGCCUGUUAUAUAUCACAAAUUUUGGUGCAAGUUUUGUGUUUUAAAACUAAAAUAAUUUGAAAAGAAUCAGAAACAAAACAAAUAAAAGAAAAACAAAAUUUAAAAGGAAAGAAAAGAAAACCGCCCUGCCCCUGGGCCUUAGGCCACAGGGACGGGCCCAGGCCGGCCUAGCCUAACCCCACUCGGUCGCCUUCCAGAUCGCUACAGGGGAAGCCGACCGAGGCGCGCCCGUCGGUCGUCCCCGACCACCUCGCCGUUUCCGCCGGGGGAAGAUAAGGACGCCACCCCCUGCAGCCCCCUCGGCCUCAUUGCCUCCCCUCCACUUGCCUCUCCCACUUCUUCCCCACACUCGCUCCUCUUCCCGAUCUAGAGGAGACCGUUGUGGGUUUCCUGGCAGCGCGUUGAACUCGCUGCUCCUCUUUCCUUGCUUCCUGGCUGUAUCGAGGACUGUUGUAUUUCCGUUUAUCUUAAAUGGAAAGGGGCAUGCCUGGUAAAAAAAAAAGAGGAGACCGCCGCCACCGUCGCCAUGGCCGGCGUCUUCCUGCGCCCACCGACCACCCCUUGGCCUGGGACCGUGUCCAGGAGCCUGGCUGCGUCCCUGUGCUUCGUCUGCGCCGAAGAACGCGAGCUCCGCGCCACCGCAUCGACCGAAUCGACCUCAUCCUCCCCACGGCUGCCACCGGCGAUCUUCUUCGGAUCCGGCGACGCCUGCUGCUCCUAAUCUAUCGACGGGUCCUCGUGUGCCUACACGGUGAGCUCCUCUUCGGAAGCCCUCUCCUUACAUAUCGAACCGGUGCCGUAGCUACCAUCACCGCCUGCAGCCGACGUCGUUAUUCGCCGUGGCCGCUAGCUCGACCCUGUCGAGCUCGGCGAGCCCCGCGCGCCUCUGCCCGGUGCUCCCGUACGCCUAUGGCCGCCCCGCGCAUGCCCCCGGCCGCGCACCGCACGCGCGCCACACAUCCGCCCGCGUCCUGCCUCCUCGAGGCUGCGCCCUGCGCGCCACUCCAGCCGUGCCCGUCGGGGCCUGGCCACGCCCACCGGGGCCGCGCCCCUGCUCGUCUGCGCUGCUGCCUCUUCGCAGUCGCCCGCGCCUGUGCGCGCCUGGGCUCGCUCACGCCCGCCUGCUGCCUCGUCCGCUGUUGCCUACUGCUUGCCGCUGCUUGCUACUGCCUCCUGCUACGCUCCUGCUGCUUUGGCUGCUGCUCAUGCCGCCGCUACUGCUGCUCCCGGCUUCUAAUCCAUGUCGCUGCUGCUCCAAAUCACUACCGCUGUUGCUCUUGGCUACUGCUUGCUGCUGCUGCCGCCGUAGGCCAUGGCCGCUGUGCACUCCCGUGCAUGCGUGCCUAGCAUAUUCGGCCAACAUGCUAGUGUCCAGCAUGGCCGGCCCAGUUAGACUAGUCUAGGAAUAGUUAGGUUAAUUAAAUUUCUUGAUUAGUUUAAGUGUAGAUGACAUGUGGGUCCCUUUCAAUUAGAUUAGUUUUAUGUAUUUGUUUAGGUACAACCUAUGAAAUUUGGGCCACACCCUGCCCUUUUGACUAGUCAAAGUUGACUUGGUCAGCUCGGAUUAAAACAAAUUAAAAUAAAACCAGAAAUUUUAGAAAUUGAUUUAAAACUUUAGAAUUAACAGAAAAUAAACCGUAGCUCGGAUCGAAAAACUUUAUAUAUGAAAGUUGCUCAGAAUGACGAGACGAAUCCGAAUAUGCGGUCCGUUUACCUGUCAGAUGCCUCUAACUAUCCAAACAUGGAACAUUCCCCCUCCGGUCAUCUGUCUGACACAGGUCCGAAACCGGUAUUACAUUCCCGGAUGUUUUCCCUCUUCGUCUGUAUCACCUAGCACUGCGUUAGUUCACCCCUAACAUCGUGUUUUACCAUGUUAUGCAUUAUGAUGCUUUGUUUGCUUUAUAUUUAUUGUUUCUCCCCCCUCUUCUCUUCGGUAGACCCCGAGACCGAUGCUGCCCCUGUGAUCGACUACGUCGACGACGACACUUCUUCCUUUUCAGCAGAGCUUCCAGGCAAGCCCCCCCCUUUGAUCAUCCCGAUAUCGCCCAUUUCCUUUCUCUCAGGCUUGCAUUAGAUUUUGCUACUGUAAUUGUUUGCUCCUAUUCUGAUGCAUAGCCUGUUUUUGUAACCUGCUCAUUGUACCUUACCUACUUAUCCUAAACUGCUUAGUAUAGGUUGGUUAGUGAUCCAUCAGUGACCCCCACCUUGUCCCAGUUGCCCCUGCUUCAUCAUCGAAGACCCGAUCAACGGGAUCGAAGACCAGGCCCCGGCACCGCACAUCACUUUCCCCUUAUUUGCUCGACACUACUGGGUUACUAUCGAGUGCCGAGGGUGAGACCUCUUCAGCACUUCUGAUGUUAACGCUGUAGUGUAGCUAUUCGGUCGUGGUCAUCGAGGGUGAUUUCCUCCUUAACCACUUCCGAUACGACUCUGUCGUGCAACCCCUCAAGUGUGAAUCUUGGGGGUGGUUCCUCUUACGUUCACCUUGAUGAUUACAUCGAGUGGAAUUCACCGGGGGUGAUUCCUCGAGUUUUCCCCUUGAUGUUUGGACACACGGAUACUUGGACUUUACCACUGCUACUUGGAAAGGCGGGUCGACCCUGAGGGGUACCCGCGAGUGAUGUGGAGACGGGUUGACCUGGAGGGUGCCCGCGAGAUAAUUACGAGGUGUGGCCGGGCAUUCCUAGCCCUUGCCGUAAGUCCUCGAGACGGGGCAACGGGGUCACAUCUUUCGUGAGUCUCUGCUUGUUACCGCGUGCUCCUAAUCCACUACGAUUUGGAUAUUUGAUCCGAGGGGCCUCUGGCCUGAUUGCACUAACCAUCACGUGGGCAUAGUAUGGGCGUUCUGCGUCGUAUGCAUCAACCGAAGCUUAAUAGACGUUAGCGACUGAGCGGCGCGCGCCGGGUUGGACUGGUAAGCACCUGCCUUUUUAAAGGAGGUAGCUAGGUCUGCUCACCAGCCGCGUACGCAACGUGCAGGAGUUCCCGGGGAGAUUGCCCAUGACCCCUGGGGGCAUAGGUUUUGUCCGGCGUGCUGACCUCUCUAUUAAGCCUAGGUCGGGUUGCGGCGUAUUGUUUGGCCGAAGCCGGGCAUGACCCAGGAAAGUGUGUCCGGCCAAAGUUAAUCGAGCGUGGUGGGUAAGUUGGUGCACCCCUGCAGGGAAGAAAACAUCUAUCGAUAGCUUGUCCUACGGUAACAGACACUUGGAGUUGUAUCCCGAUCGAUACAACUAGAACUGGAUACUGGUGAUGAGAAAUGGAUUGUGAUGAUAACUGGAUAGUAUGGCUCUGGGAUUGCUUUCUCGCAGGGAGUCGAGAAAGGAUCUCUGGCCGAGGUUGAUAACACUACUACUACUUUACUUUAUGCUACUCUACUCCCUCCUGUUGCUGCAAGAUGGUGGUUUCCAGAAGAUGCUAGUCUUCGAUAGGACUACCUUCUCUCUAUUCUGGCAUUUCUGCAGCCCAGUCCACAUAUACAACCUUCCUUUGAUAAUGUUGCAUAUGUAGUGUAGAUCCUUGCUUGCGAGUAAUUUGGAUGAGUACUCACGGUUGCUUUCCUCCCCCUUUGCCCCUUUCUUCUUCUUUCCGGUUGAUGCAACCAGAUAUCGGAGCCCAGGGGCCAGAUGUCACCGCCAAUGCUUACUACUACGUGGAGACCGCCGACGACCAGGAGUAGUUAGGAGGCUCCCAGGCAGGAGGCCUUGCCUUUUCGAUCAAUGUUGCUUUUGUGCUGGCCUUCUUAAGGCAACUUGUCUAACUUAUGUCUGUACUCAGAUAUUGUUGCUUCCGCUGACUCUUGUGUUUUCGAGCUUAUGUAUUCGAUCCCUCGAGGCCCCUGGCUUGUAAUAUAAAGCUUGUAUUAUUUUAAUUUGUGUCUACAGUUGUGUUGUGAUAUCUUCCCAUGAGUCCUUGGUCUUGAUCGUACACAUUUGCGUGUAUGAUUAGUGUACGAUUGAAUCGAGGGCGUCACAAGUUGGUAUCAGAGCCGACUGCCUGUAGGUAGCCCCCCUUCCAACUCCUUGGCCGAAGUUGAGUCUAGUCAAUGAAAAACUUUUACUAGCUUGGUUGUGUGGCUUACGGGCCCACGUCGCCAUUGGGUGGUAUUAGGAUCUUUUAUUCCUCGUCUAUACUCUGGGACUCUGAUCUCUCGUCUAUUCGGGUUAAACGUUUUACUAAGUCUGACAUUAGGAUCUCGUACCCACUUUCUCCCGGAGAGCCCCUUCAGUCCAGAUGAUCGCUUGCUGCUUCAGAAGAUUUCGAAGAUACUCUCCGAUGUUUCCCCGAAACACUUGUGCCCUUCGCCGUUGCAAUUCCAUAUCACCGAUAAACCCCUCUGGAUAACUACAUACACCUGUCGUUCAUAUUGUCAUCCCAAGUUGAUCUUGUUAUUACAAGAUGCCUUGUAAUACUUUUAGGUAUUUCGAGAAUCCACUGUGCCUACUACGUUGCAGCUCCUUUUCCGCCUGAAUACAUGUACGAAUUAUUCCUCACAAUUAUCGAGGAUUCGUUCAUCCCCAAUUGUUUAGGUAUUUCACAAAAGUCUUUGAAAUACCAUUCGAUCUUCCGAAAAUCCUCAGCAGCCUAUUGUUGUUGAAAUUCUUGUUUGCUUGCAUUAUGGUUAAUUCCAUAUUUCUAGUAAUCUUCGUUGACAUCCUCUGUCACUAUCGUUUCGAGUCCCUUGAUCCAAUAUGUCGCGAAUGCUCGUAAUCCUCAAUCAGAUCCUAGCAUUCAUCCUUCCGGCUCAGACGUCACUCCAAACAUGAGCUUGUUCUUGUCAAAUCAAACAUUGAUUGAUUGUCGAUCUGUAUCGAUUCAACUCAAUUAUCUUUUGAUCAGAGCCUCUGCUUCAGAUCUUCUGAUUUGAAAAUCGUAAUUCCUUUGUAUUCAAGCUUUAAAGUUAUCCAGUUAUAUCUAUAACCCGAUUCCUUUGCAUUCUUUCUUCUUCUGGGUGAGUAUCGAUACUCACAUCAGAUCUUUUAUGAACCGCCAUAUCCUUGGUUGGAUUAUUAUCCGACAAUGUCCUUCAUAUUCAUUAAACUUGUGAGUUUUGCCCUGACAUAUAAUGCCUUUGGUAAAUUCUAUCAUCUGCUUUUGUCAACCAUGCUCUGCUUUCGAGCUGGUAUAUUUUAAUCCUGAAAUUAGUGGUAUAUGUUCCUAAGAUACCCCUAUGGGUUGAACCUAUGCCUUCCCUAAUCCGUGUGAACUCGAAAGAGAUGUGAUUCAUACUCUUCUGCUGCUUCACCAGAUAAAUCUUUCGCACUACUAAUUCUUUGAAAACGAGGAGUGAAUGAAAGGUUAUGCAUUGAAGAAGUGGGAGUCGACCUUGAACUUUGUCUUCAUGCCCAUGGACACGAUGUAGAUCCUAUCAUGGAAGCUUCUUGUAAUAAUAACUAUUUCCUUGAUAAAUAUCAUCUGGUAUCUGUGAAUUGAUCCUUUGCAACCGUGAUUCCGAUCAUGAUUGUUCUCCUUUGAUUCUAUUUCUCGGACAAGUUAAAGUACUUGCCUUCUGCAGAUCAGUACGCCGGCUGCUACCUCUUGAGCACUGCGUUGGUUUUCCCUUGAAGAGGAAAGGGUGAUGCAGCAAAGUAGCGUAAGUAUUUCCCUUAGUUUUUGAGAACCAAGGUAUCAAUCCAGUAGGAGGCCACGCACGAGUCCCUCGCACCUACACAAACAAAUAAAUCCUCGCAACCAACGCGAUAAGGGGUUGUCAAUCCCUACACGGUCACUUACGAGAGUGAGAUCUGAUAGAAAUGAUAGGAUAAUAUUUUUGGUAUUUUUAUGAUAAAGAUGAAAAGUAAAAUAAAAGGCAAUAAAAAUAACUAAGUGUUGGAAGAUUAAUAUGAUGGAAAAUAGACCCGGGGGCCAUAGGUUUCACUAGAGGCUUCUCUCGAGAGCAUAAGUUUUACAGUGGGUGAACAAAUUACUGUUGAGCAAUUGACAGAAUUGAGUAUAGUUAUGAGAAUAUCUAGGUAUGAUCAUGUGUAUAGGCAUCUUGUUCGAGACAAGUAGACCGACUCCUGCCUGCAUCUACUACUAUUACUCCACACAUCGACCACUAUCCAGCAUGUAUCUAGAGUAUUAAGUUCAUAAGAACAGAGUAACACUUUAAGCAAGAUGACAUGAUGUAGAGGGAUAAACUCAUGCAAUAUGGUAUAAACCCCAUCUUGUUAUCCUCGAUGGCAACAAUACAAUACGUGCCUUGCUGCCCCUACUGUCACUGGGAAAGGACACCGCAAGAUUGAACCCAAAGCUAAGCACUUCUCCCAUUGCAAGAAAGAUCAAUCUAGUAGGCCAAACCAAACUGAUAAUUCGAAGAGACUUGCAAAGAUAACCAAUCAUACAUAAAAGAAUUCAGAGAAGAUUCAAAUAUUGUUCAUAGAUAAACUUGAUCAUAAACCCACAAUCCAUCGGUCUCAACAAACACACCGCAAAAGAAGAUUACAUCGAAUAGAUCUCCACGAGAGAGGGGGAGAACAUUGUAUUGAGAUCCAAAGAGAGAGAAGAAGCCAUCUAGCUAAUAACUAUGGACCCGAAGGUCUGAGGUAAACUACUCACACUUCAUCGGAGAGGCUAUGGUGUUGAUGUAGAAGCCCUCCAUGAUCGAUGCCCCCUCCGGCAGAGCUCCGGAACAGGCCCCAAGAUGGGAUCUCACGGGUAUAGAAGGUUGCGCCGGUGGAAUUAGGUUUUGGGCUCCGUAUCUGGUAGUUUGGGGGUACGUAGGUAUAUAUAGGAGGAAGAAGUAUGUUGGUGGAGCAACGUGGGGCCCACGAGGGUGGAGGGCGCCUGGGAGGGUAGGCGCGCCCCCUACCUCGUGCCCUCCUGGUUGAUGUCUUGACGUAGGGUCCAAGUCCUCUGGAUCACGUUCGUUCCGAAAAUCACAUUCCCGAAGGUUUCAUUCCGUUUGGACUCCGUUUGAUAUUCUUUUUCUGCGAAACUCUGCAAUAGGCAAAAAAACAGCAAUUCUGGGCUGGGCCUCCGGUUAAUAGGUUAGUCCCAAAAAUAAUAUAAAAGUGUAUAAUAAAGCCCAUUAAUGUCCAAAACAGAAUAUAUUAUAGCAUGGAACAAUAAAAAAUUAUAGAUACGUUGGAGACGUAUCAAGCAUCCCCAAGCUUAAUUCAUGCUCGUCCUCGAGUAGGUAAAUGAUAAAAAACAGAAUUUUUGAUGUGGAGUGCUACUUGGCAUAAUUUCAAUGUAAUUCUUCUUAAUUGUGGUAUGAAUAUUCAGAUCCGAAAGAUUCAAGAUAAAAUUUUAAUAUUGACAUAAAAAUAAUAAUACUUCAAGCAUACUAACUAAGCAAUUAUGUCCUCUCAAAAUAACAUGGCCAAAGAAAGUUCAUCCCGAAAAAAUCAUAUAAUUUAGUCAUGCUCCAUUUUCAUCACACAAGAAUGCUCUCAUCAUGCACAACCCCAAUGACAAGCCAAGCAAUUGUUUCAUACUUUAGUAAUAUCAAACUUUUUUAACCUUUACGCAAUACAUGAGCGUGAGCCGUGGAUAUAGCACUAUGGGUGGAAUAGAAUAUAAUGAUGGGGGUUAUGUGGAGAAGACAAAAAGGGAAUAAGUCUCACAUCAACGAGGCUAAUCAAUGAGCUAUGGAGAUGCCCAUAGAUUGAUGUUAAUGCAAGGAGUAGGGAUUGCCAUGCAACGGAUGCACUAGAGCUAUAAAUAUAUGAAAGCUCAACAAAAGAAACUAAGUGGGUGUGCAUCCAACUUGCUUGCUCAUGAAGACCUAGGGCAUUUGAGGAAGCCCAUUGUUGGAAUAUACAAGCCAAGUUCUAUAAUGAAAAGUUCCCACUAGUAUAUGAAAGUGACAAAACAAGAGACUCUCUAUCAUGAAGAUUAUGGUGCUACUUUGAAGCACGAGUGUGGUAAAAAGGAUAGUAACAUUGUCCCUUCUCUCUUUUUCUCUCAUUUUUUGGGCCUUCUCUUUUUUUACCUCACUUGGGACAAUGCUCUAGAAAAUGAUGAUCAUCACAUUUCUAUUUAUUUACAACUCAAUGAUUACAACUCGAUACUAGAACAAAGUAUGACUCUAUAUGAAUGCCUCCGGCGGUGUACCGGGAUAUGCAAUGAACCAAGAGUGACAUGUAUGAAAGAAUUAUGAAUGGUGGCUUUGCCACAAAUACUAUGUCAACUACAUGAUCAUGCAAAGCAAUAUGACAAUGAUGAACGUGUCAUGAUAAACGGAACGGUGGAAAGUUGCAUGGCAAUAUAUCUCGGAAUGGCUAUGGAAAUGCCAUAAUAGGUAGGUAUGGUGGCUGUUUUGAGGAAGAUAUAAGGAGGUUUAUGUGUGAAAGAGCGUAUCAUAUCACGGGGUUUGGAUGCACCGGCGAAGUUCGCACCAAAUCUCAAUGUGAGAAAGGGCAAUGCACGGUACCGAAGAGGCUAGAAAUGAUGGAAAGGUGAGAGUGCGCAUAAUCCAUGGACUCAACAUUAGUCAUAAAGAACUCACAUACUUAUUGCAAAAAUCUACAAGCCAUCAAAAACCAAGCACUACGCGCAUGCUCCUAGGGGGAUAGAUUGGUAGGAAAAGACCAUCGCUCGUCCCCGACAGCCACUCAUAAGGAGGACAAUCAAAGAACACCUCAUGUUUCAAAUUUGUUACAUAACGUUUACCAUACGUGCAUGCUACGGGACUUGCAAACUUCAACACAAGUAUUUCUCUAAUUCACAACUACUCAACUAGCACAACUUUAAUAUCACUACCUCCAUAUCUCAAAACAAUCAUCAAGCAUCAAACUUCUCUUAGUAUUCAUCACACUCAUAAGAAAGUUUUUACUAGUCUUGAAUACCUAGCAUAUUAGGAUUAUUUAAGCAAAUUACCAUGCUAUUUAAGACUCUCAAAAUAAUAUAAGUGAAGUAUGAGAGAAUAAUAGUUUCUAUAAAACAAAAGUUACCACCGUGCUCUAAAAGAUAUAAGUGAAGUACUAGAGCAAAAACUAUAUAACUCAAAAGAUAUAAGUGAAGCACAUAGAGUAUUCUAAUAAUUUCUGAAUCAUGUGUGUCUCUCUCAAAAGGUGUGUACAGCAAGGAUGAUUGUGGUAAACUAAAAAGCAAAGACUCAAAUCAUACAAGACGCUCCAAGCAAAACACAUAUCAUGUGGUGAAUAAAAAUAUAGCUCCAAGUAAAGUUACCGAUGGAAGUAGACGAAAGAGGGGAUGCCUUCCGGGGCAUCCCCAAGCUUUGGCUUUUUGGUGUCCUUAGAUUAUCUUGGGGUGCCUUGGGCAUCCCAAAGCUUAGGCUCUUGCCACUCCUUGUUCCAUAAUCCAUCAAAUCUUUCACCCAAAACUUCAAAACUUCACAACACAAAACUUAACAGAAAAUCUUGUGAGCUCCGUUAGCGAAAGAAAACAAAACACCACUUCAAGUACUGUAAUGAACUCAUUCUUUAUUUAUAUUGGUGAUAAAGUUACUGUAUUCCAACUUCUCUAUGGUUUAUAAACUAUUUUACUAGCCAUAGAUUCAUCAAAAUAAGCAAACAACACACGAAAAACAGAAUCUGUCAAAAACAGAACAGUCUGUAGUAAUCUGUAACUAACGCAAACUUCUGGAACUCCAAAAAUUCAGCCAAAAUAGGACAACCUAGACAAUUUGUUUAUUGAUUAGAAGAAACUGGAAUCAAUAUUUUAUCACGUUCUGGUGAUUUUUAACAAUUAUUUUCGUGAACAGAAAGUUUCUGCAAUGUUCAGCAAGAUCAAAUAACUAUCAUCCAAGAAGAUCCUAUAGGUUUAACUUGGCACAAACACUAAUUAAAACAUAAAAACAAGUCUAACCAGAGGCUAGAUCAAACAUUUAUUCCUAAACAGAAUCAAAAAGCAAAAAACUAAAAAUAAAAUUGGGUUGCCUCCCAACAAGCUAUCGUUUAACGCCCCUAGCUAGGCAUAAAAACAAGGAUAGAUCUAGGUACUGCCAUCUUUGGUUGGCAAUUCUUUAAUGAGACAUCCAUCAUCCUUAGGAGUUUCUUUCUUUUUAUUAAUCAUCAAACUUCUAGGCACAUAACCAAAAAAUUCGUUUGUAGCAAAUGGUUCCUUAAUGAUAGCAAAAAGAUUGGGAUGAAUACUUAUAGAUUUGAGAUCCGCAGUUUCCUUGCUAGAGGAUUCACCCUUAUUUUUAGGAACAUACAUAAGCUUGGCAAUUUUAGUUGGAGGACUUGGAGUAUUUUUUACGGAAGAAAAAGCGGUUCCCAAGUUGCUAAUGAUACCCUCAAGUUUAUCGAUUCUAGUGGAAUCCUGAUUUAUUUUUUCAUUAACUAUGGGUUCCUUCUCCUUCAUAUUUUUCAAAGUGACUCCUACUUUGGAUCCAUAUUGGGUAAUUUGGUUGUGGAUCUUUUUAUCCAAAUUUUCAAUUAACUCUACGGUAGCAACUUUAUUUUCAAUAAUUUCAAGUCUUUGCAUUACAUGCUCCAAGUUAACAUAGUUCCAUUAACCAAAAGAGGAGGUGAGCCAAACAAAUCUAUCAUAGCAUUAUAAGAAUCAAAAGUAUGGCUACCCAAGAAAUUCCCUCCGGUGAUGGUAUCAAGGAUAUAUCUGUACCAAGGAGUAGCGCCUGCAUAAAAAUUGCGGAGAAGAACGGAAGUAGAUUGCUUCCUGGUAGAUCUAUUUUGAGCAUUGCAAAUUCUAUACCAAGCGUGUUUUAGAUUUUCUCCUUCCCUUUGCUUAAAAUUAAGAACUUCAUUUUCGGGAGACAACGAAGAAGAUAGGGGACUAGCCAUAAUGACUAAGCGAAAAAGAGGCGAACGGAAAAGAGAGGGCGAAUAAAAUGGCAAGGGUGAAGUGGGGGAGAGGAAAACGAGAGGCAAAUGACAAAUAAUGUAAUGCGGGAGAUAAGGGUUUGUGAUGGGUACUUCGUAUGUUGACUUUUGCAUAGACUCCCCGGCAACGGCGCUAGAAAUGGCUCGCUGCUGGGAGUCAAAUCUUGACUUGACCUUGCGUAAGCCUCCCCGGCAACGGCGCCAGAAAUCCUUCUUGCUACCUCUUGAGCACUGCGUUGGUUUUCCCUUGAAGAGGAAAGGGUAAUGCAGCAAAGUAGCGUAAGUAUUUCCCUCAGUUUUUGAGAACCAAGGUAUCAAUCCAGUAGGAGGCCACGCACGAGUCCCUCGCACCUACACAAACAAAUAAAUCCUCGCAACCAACGCGAUAAGGGGUUGUCAAUCCCUACACGGUCACUUACGAGAGUGAGAUCUGAUAGAAAUGAUAGGAUAAUAUUUUUGGUAUUUUUAUGAUAAAGAUGCAAAGUAAAAUAAAAGGCAAUAAAAAUAACUAAGUGUUGGAAGAUUAAUAUGAUGGAAAAUAGACCCGGGGGCCAUAGGUUUCACUAGAGGCUUCUCUCGAGAGCAUAAGUUUUACAGUGGGUGAACAAAUUACUGUUGAGCAGUUGACAAAAUUGAGCAUAGUUAUGAGAAUAUCUAGGUAUGAUCAUGUAUAUAGGCAUCACGUCCGAGACAAGUAGACCGACUCCUGCCUGCAUCUACUACUAUUACUCCACACAUCGACCGCUAUCCAGCAUGCAUCUAGAGUAUUAAGUUCAUAAGAACAGAGUAACGCUUUAAGCAAGAUGACAUGAUGUAGAGGGAUAAACUCAUGCAAUAUGAUAUAAACCCCGUCUUGUUAUCCUCCAUGGCAACAAUGCAAUACGUGCCUUGCUGCCCCUACUGUCACUGGGAAAGGACACCGCAAGAUUGAACCCAAAGCUAAGCACUUCUCCCAUUGCAAGAAAAAUCAAUCCAUUGAACCCAAAGCAAGAAAAAUCACCGGCCCAACCUCUAUUUUGUUCUACCUUCGAGUAUUACCCCCUGGUAUCUCGAGGAUAUCAACCCAUUGCACUUCAUCUUAUGAAUUUCUGGUGAAGUGGUUCCUUUCCCCGUCAUAGUCACUUCACGGGUUCUGGGUUGUCGUUAACCAAGAACACCGAUUUGUGAAUCGAAUCAACACUGAGGUUCAGUACUCCCAGUAUUUUGUUGUUGAGAAGUUUAAUACUCCAUCACGUCAUUCCUAGCCUGAUCGGCUAUAUUUUUAUAGUGUCAACUUUUAACUGUGCUACCUGGUCCUUAUGCCCGGAGAACUUUCGACGAUGAGCUAAGCUUACGUCGAUCUUCCUCAUCUUAUCAUUUCACCUCGAACAACAAGCUUGACUUCGAGCUUGUGUCGAAUCCCUGGUUCUCAUAGCCUUUCACUUCAUCCUUCCUUUUCUGCUCGAUGGCAUCUUCAUAGAGUCUCUCGACAAAAUCUGUCGUGAUCACCGUCUACACUUUGGCUUUUUCAAAGAUGUCAAUUGAAUUCAUGGCUAGAAAUGCCAUCCCUGCCCCUCGAUGAUUUGUGAUCUCAUCGAUGACAUCUUGACUUUCUGCCAAUACAGACCUGGUUGUGCUUGGUUAUUCCUUACGUUCUGAGAUAUCUUGGAAUUGUUUCUUGGUAUCUCUUGAGAUCUUCGAACCCAAUCUUUACUUGACACCAUAUCAUUGCCGCAUCGAAGCAUGACUGUGGUAUUCCGAAUAUCAACAAGAACAUUGAAGUGCAAUGCUAAAUGUUUCUUGAUCUAUUAUCCAAACACUGUUGUGUGGGUAAUAUCAUGAUUCUUCCCUCGCCCCUUUAUCUAAAUGCUUUUUGGUCUUGCUGGCCUAUCAUGUAUAUCGUGCUCCGCCUUUCCUUGGGGAGGAUAUACUUCCAAUUCUUGAGUGUAAACAAAUUUUCCUUUCCAUUGGGUGGUUAAUCUUUCUUUUGAUCUAUAUUAUAUAAGCAAAAAUAAUUCCUUGCUUAAAAAAAACACCUCGAGGUACAAUUUGUCAAUAAGACCUUGUUACUAUUGUUGAUGACAUUCCGGUAGCCGCCGACGGACGAGAACUUUGCAUAUUGGUCUGUCUCGUCUUAACGAGCAGGAAAAUGGUUCUCUUCGUCCCUCGCCCUUGGUACCAACGUUGUUGCCAACAUAACUGACAGGUUGUCCUCUGACCUACCUUGCUAUCAUGACCGUGAAAAAUGUUAGUGCCCUUCCUGCUUUCAACCCACAUGGUGGGCCCAUACCCACAGUUCUACAGGAUCGACACCUGACUCUCUUGUACAUCCUUGUUUUCCAAAAUUGUUCCUCGCGCUUGGCUUCGUAUGUAAAUCACGAGCCACAUACCUAGUGUUCUAUUCUGGUAUCAGACGCAAUACUUAUUCCCAUUGCUCUGAACCCCUUUUCACCCUCAGUUUCAGGCAAUGAACGGUUGCCUACCCGCUUGAAACUUCUUAUUGCACCUUCUUAACUUGCUCUCGAUGACUUUCUUGAAUUUCAACUAGCUAGAUGCCUCUAUGCCACGUUCACUAAGAUAGCCCCCUGGUACCUAUCUUGUGUUGGGCUCUUUCCUUCCCGAGUCUUUCCCCCUUACUCCACCCCUUAAAUCUCGGGACGAGAUUUCUUGUAGUGGAGGAGAUUUGUAACACCCCGGGUGUCAUGCUUCAGUAAACUCCUGUUAUUUGUGCCACGCCAUCGCAAUUGAUUUUCUAAACCUCACUUUAAUCCAAACCGAAUUCAAGUUCAAAUUUAAAAUAAAGUAAAAAUAAUAUUUAUUCAAACAGUAAAAUAAAAAUGUUCAUCGCAUUAGAAUUAAUCGAUGAGUAACUGUCUUGGUGAAACCAAUUUUUUAUAAAGUGCUUAGGUGCCUUAAAAUGAUUAAAACAGGGGCCAGUGCAAUAUUUUAAAUGCUUUUUAAAUGAUAAAAGUUACAAACUAAUUUAUUUAAGUGCCAAAGUUAUUAUGGCAGUGGCCUGUUAUAUAUCACAAAUUGUGGUGCAAGUUUUGUGUUUUAAAACUAAAAUAAUUUGAAAAGAAUCAGAAACAAAACAAAUAAAAGAAAAACAAAAUUUAAAAGGAAAGAAAAGAAACCCCCCUGCCCCUGGGCCUUAGGCCACAGGGACGGGCCCAGGCCGGCCCAGCCAACCCCACUCGGUCGCCUUCCAGAUCGCUACAGGGGAAGCCGACCGAGGCGCGCCCGUCGGUCGUCCCCGACCACCUCGCCGUUUCCGCCGGGGGAAGAUAAGGACGCCACCCCCUGCAGCCCCCUCGACCUCAUUGCCUCCCCUCCACUUGCCUCUCCCACUUCUUCCCCACACUCGCUCCUCUUCCCGAUCUAGAGGAGACCGUUGUGGGUUUCCUGGCAGCGCGUUGAACUCGCUGCUCCUCUUUCCUUGCUUCCUGGCUGUAUCGAAGACUGUUGUAUUUCCGUUUAUCUUAAAUGGAAAGGGGCAUGCCUGGUAAAAAAAAAGAGGAGACCGCCGCCACCGUCGCCAUGGCCGGCGUCUUCCUGCGCCCACCGACCACCCCUUGGCCUGGGACCGUGUCCAGGAGCCUGGCUGCGUCCCUGUGCUUCGUCUGCGCCGAAGAACGCGAGCUCCGCGCCACCGCAUCGACCGAAUCGACCUCAUCCUCCCCACGGCUGCCACCGGCGAUCUUCUUCGGAUCCGGCGACGCCUGCUGCUCCUAAUCUAUCGACGGGUCCUCGUGUGCCUACACGGUGAGCUCCUCUUCGGAAGCCCUCUCCUUACAUAUCGAACCGGUGCCGUAGCUACCAUCACCGCCUGCAGCCGACGUCGUUAUUCGCCGUGGCCGCUAGCUCGACCCUGUCGAGCUCGGCGAGCCCCGCGCGCCUCUGCCCGGUGCUCCUGUACGCCUAUGGCCGCCCCGCGCAUGCCCCCGGCCGCGCACCGCACGCGCGCCACACAUCCGCCCGCGUCCUGCCUCCUCGAGGCUGCGCCCUGCGCGCCACUCCAGCCGUGCCCGUCGGGGCCUGGCCACGCCCACCGGGGCCGCGCCCCUGCUCGUCUGCGCUGCUGCCUCUUCGCAGUCGCCCGCGCCUGUGCGCGCCUGGGCUCGCUCACGCCCGCCUGCUGCCUCGUCCGCUGUUGCCUACUGCUUGCCGCUGCUUGCUACUGCCUCCUGCUACGCUCCUGCUGCUUUGGCUGCUGCUCAUGCCGCCGCUACUGCUGCUCCCGGCUUCUAAUCCAUGUCGCUGCUGCUCCAAAUCACUACCGCUGUUGCUCUUGGCUACUGCUUGCUGCUGCUGCCGCCGUAGGCCAUGGCCGCUGUGCACUCCCGUGCAUGCGUGCCUAGCAUAUUCGGCCAACAUGCUAGUGUCCAGCAUGGCCGGCCCAGUUAGACUAGUCUAGGAAUAGUUAGGUUAAUUAAAUUUCUUGAUUAGUUUAAGUGUAGAUGACAUGUGGGUCCCUUUCAAUUAGAUUAGUUUUAUGUAUUUGUUUAGGUACAACCUAUGAAAUUUGGGCCACACCCUGCCCUUUUGACUAGUCAAAGUUGACUUGGUCAGCUCGGAUUAAAACAAAUUAAAAUAAAACCAGAAAUUUUAGAAAUUGAUUUAAAACUUUAGAAUUAACAGAAAAUAAACCGUAGCUCGGAUCGAAAAACUUUAUAUAUGAAAGUUGCUCAGAAUGACGAGACGAAUCCGAAUAUGCGGUCCGUUUACCUGUCAGAUGCCUCUAACUAUCCAAACAUGGAACAUUCCCCCUCCGGUCAUCUGUCUGACACAGGUCCGAAACCGGUAUUACAUUCCCGGAUGUUUUCCCUCUUCGUCUGUAUCACCUAGCACUGCGUUAGUUCACCCCUAACAUCGUGUUUUACCAUGUUAUGCAUUAUGAUGCUUUGUUUGCUUUAUAUUUAUUGUUUCUCCCCCCUCUUCUCUUCGGUAGACCCCGAGACCGAUGCUGCCCCUGUGAUCGACUACGUCGACGACGACACUUCUUCCUUUUCAGCAGAGCUUCCAGGCAAGCCCCCCCCCUUUGAUCAUCCCGAUAUCGCCCAUUUCCUUUCUCUCAGGCUUGCAUUAGAUUUUGCUACUGUAAUUGUUUGCUCCUAUUCUGAUGCAUAGCCUGUUUUUGUAACCUGCUCAUUGUACCUUACCUACUUAUCCUAAACUGCUUAGUAUAGGUUGGUUAGUGAUCCAUCAGUGACCCCCACCUUGUCCCAGUUGCCCCUGCUUCAUCAUCGAAGACCCGAUCAACGGGAUCGAAGACCAGGCCCCGGCACCGCACAUCACUUUCCCCUUAUUUGCUCGACACUACUGGGUUACUAUCGAGUGCCGAGGGUGAGACCUCUUCAGCACUUCUGAUGUUAACGCUGUAGUGUAGCUAUUCGGUCGUGGUCAUCGAGGGUGAUUUCCUCCUUAACCACUUCCGAUACGACUCUGUCGUGCAACCCCUCAAGUGUGAAUCUUGGGGGUGGUUCCUCUUACGUUCACCUUGAUGAUUACAUCGAGUGGAAUUCACCGGGGGUGAUUCCUCGAGUUUUCCCCUUGAUGUUUGGACACACGGAUACUUGGACUUUACCACUGCUACUUGGAAAGGCGGGUCGACCCUGAGGGGUACCCGCGAGUGAUGUGGAGACGGGUUGACCUGGAGGGUGCCCGCGAGAUAAUUACGAGGUGUGGCCGGGCAUUCCUAGCCCUUGCCGUAAGUCCUCGAGACGGGGCAAUGGGGUCACAUCUUUCGUGAGUCUCUGCUUGUUACCGCGUGCUCCUAAUCCACUACGAUUUGGAUAUUUGAUCCGAGGGGCCUCUGGCCUGAUUGCACUAACCAUCACGUGGGCAUAGUAUGGGCGUUCUGCGUCGUAUGCAUCAACCGAAGCUUAAUAGACGUCAGCGACUGAGCGGCGCGCGCCGGGUUGGACUGGUAAGCACCUGCCUUUUUAAAGGAGGUAGCUAGGUCUGCUCACCAGCCGCGUACGCAACGUGCAGGAGUUCCCGAGGAGAUUGCCCAUGACCCCUGGGGGCAUAGGUUUUGUCCGGCGUGCUGACCUCUCUAUUAAGCCUAGGUCGGGUUGCGGCGUAUUGUUUGGCCGAAGCCGGGCAUGACCCAGGAAAGUGUGUCCGGCCAAAGUUAAUCGAGCGUGGUGGGUAAGUUGGUGCACCCCUGCAGGGAAGAAAACAUCUAUCGAUAGCUUGUCCUACGGUAACAGACACUUGGAGUUGUAUCCCGAUCGAUACAACUAGAACUGGAUACUGGUGAUGAGAAAUGGAUUGUGAUGAUAACUGGAUAGUAUGGCUCUGGGAUUGCUUUCUCGCAGGGAGUCGAGAAAGGAUCUCUGGCCGAGGUUGAUAACACUACUACUACUUUACUUUAUGCUACUCUACUCCCUCCUGUUGCUGCAAGAUGGUGGUUUCCAGAAGAUGCUAGUCUUCGAUAGGACUACCUUCUCUCUAUUCUGGCAUUUCUGCAGCCCAGUCCACAUAUACAACCUUCCUUUGAUAAUGUUGCAUAUGUAGUGUAGAUCCUUGCUUGCGAGUACUUUGGAUGAGUACUCACCGAAGGGCGCUCACACCAGUUUAUAAGCCCGUCCCUCUCUGCAUUGUUGAGCUCCUCUUAAAGUGCAAAUAGAUGCCCUUAUACAGGGACUUUGACCUAAAUUCACAGUAAAUUUCAUAGAAAUUUAUUAUGAAUUUAGGUUGAAUUUCCUCUAUAAGCGCAUCUAUGUUCAUUUUUUUAUAUUUAUAAAAUAAAUAAACCUUAAUAAAAUAAAUAAAAAUAAGUAAACCUUAAUAAAAUAAAAUAAAAAUAAACUAUAGUAACUAAAAUAAAUAAACCUUAAUAAAUUAAGUAAAAAUAGCAGCAGUAAAAUAAAUAAAAAUAAAAUAAUUAAAAUAAAAUACAUAAGUAAUUAGAAAUAAAAUAAAUAAGUUUUUUGUUGUAAGUAGAAACAAAACAAAACAAGUAAAGCAAAAGAGAAAAAAACAGAGGAAAAAAAUAUGCCACCUACUGGGCCACCACGGCCUGAAUACGACUAGAAACCCAUCCAUGGGCCAGGAUUCAGGCCCGCAGAAGGCCCAGUNNNNNNNNNNNNNNNNNNNNNNNNNNNNNNNNNNNNNNNNNNNNNNNNNNNNNNNNNNNNNNNNNNNNNNNNNNNNNNNNNNNNNNNNNNNNNNNNNNNNNNNNNNNNNNNNNNNNNNNNNNNNNNNNNNNNNNNNNNNNNNNNNNNNNNNNNNNNNNNNNNNNNNNNNNNNNNNNNNNNNNNNNNNNNNNNNNNNNNNNNNNNNNNNNNNNNNNNNNNNNNNNNNNNNNNNNNNNNNNNNNNNNNNNNNNNNNNNNNNNNNNNNNNNNNNNNNNNNNNNNNNNNNNNNNNNNNNNNNNNNNNNNNNNNNNNNNNNNNNNNNNNNNNNNNNNNNNNNNNNNNNNNNNNNNNNNNNNNNNNNNNNNNNNNNNNNNNNNNNNNNNNNNNNNNNNNNNNNNNNNNNNNNNNNNNNNNNNNNNNNNNNNNNNNNNNNNNNNNNNNNNNNNNNNNNNNNNNNNNNNNNNNNNNNNNNNNNNNNNNNNNNNNNNNNNNNNNNNNNNNNNNNNNNNNNNNNNNNNNNNNNNNNNNNNNNNNNNNNNNNNNNNNNNNNNNNNNNNNNNNNNNNNNNNNNNNNNNNNNNNNNNNNNNNNNNNNNNNNNNNNNNNNNNNNNNNNNNNNNNNNNNNNNNNNNNNNNNNNNNNNNNNNNNNNNNNNNNNNNNNNNNNNNNNNNNNNNNNNNNNNNNNNNNNNNNNNNNNNNNNNNNNNNNNNNNNNNNNNNNNNNNNNNNNNNNNNNNNNNNNNNNNNNNNNNNNNNNNNNNNNNNNNNNNNNNNNNNNNNNNNNNNNNNNNNNNNNNNNNNNGGUUGGUGCCACGAACCGGGACCAAAGAGUUCCCUAUAUAUACCCCAUCGCCACAGCAGAGCACUCCACAGUGCUCUGUAUUUUCUGGCCGACGAGGGAAGGGCAUUUGGGUGCUCUAGCUCACCUCCUAUGCACAUGAGGUGCUCGAUGAAAUGUCUGAGCCACACUAGUUAAUCUUUCUCCUCUCGAAACUCGACCUCCGAGCUCCAUUUUCCCCGAGAUUUGUCUAGGUUUAGCAGUCCGUCACGUCCCGUCCCCGUCUUCACCGCCGUCGAUCGCCCGCGCCGAUCUCGUCGCCAGCACCAUCGUGGUGAGCCUCUUGUUCUUAUCUUCUUUCUGGAAGGAAAAAAUUCUUACUUUAGAUAGUUACUUGUCUAAUUUUGUUACUUUUAUUAUUCCUUCUUAUUACAUAGUGCGAUGGUUUUGGUAUCCGCCCCCGUCGGCCCUCGUCCUGUCUAUGAUUCGAAUGUGGUAUAUAUUAUCUUUUUAUAACUAUUUGGUUCAUUUAUUGUUUAUGACAAAUAUACCGACCAACGUGACAUAGAUUUUAUUUAUGUAGGAGGUGGUUGAACCAGAAAUUCUAACCGACCCUAUUGUCGAGAGGUUAAAUUUAGUUGAAGAAGAAAAUAAUUAAUUGAAGGAAAAAAUAAAAAAAAUUGAGGAGGAGAAGAUGAUAUUGGAGUUGCAUGUUGCGGAUGUCGUCGAUGAUCACAAGAUCAAGAUGGAUGCAAUGCGCUUGAAGAUUAGAAAGAUUAGAAAAUAUGCCAUUCAUACCGAGGCUUGGUAUCAUUAUGCCGUUGGAUCAAUUGUUACCUUGGUUGCGAUUAUGAUCGCAUUUGUUUUCGCAUUGCAAUGUUUUACAUAGUUUCAAUGUAUGGUUUAAUUAAUUAGAUGCUCUGGAGAGCUAUAUAUAUGUUGUUAGAUGAGAACUAUGUAUGUACUUUCGUUUUAAUGUGAUGAUGAACUUCUAUUAAUUUGGUCACUUAAUUAUCUAUUCAUGAUGUUCUGUAAUGGUUUUUGACACACUUAAUUAUAUAUAAUGCACGUAGAUGAACCGGCAAUGGAUGUACGGUGACAGACACACCUCCGAGUACAUUAAGGGCGUGCAUGAUUUUCUCGAAGUGGCUGAGGCAAACAAGCAGAAUGGUUUUAUGUGUUGACCAUGCCCUAUAUGUGGGAAUACGAAGUCUUACUCUGACCGGAAAAUCCUUCACACCCACCUGCUUUACAAGGGUUUCAUGCCACACUAUAAUGUUUGGACGAGGCACGGAGAAAUAGGGGUUAUGAUGGAAGACGGCGAAGAAGAAGAGGACGAUGACAACUAUGUGCCCCUGAAUACGGUGAUGCUGCAACAGGGGAAGCUGCUGAAGAUCAAGAGGAACCAGACGAUGUGCCCAAUGAUGCUGCAAGGGGGGAAGAUGCUGAAGAUCAAGAGGAACCAGUGCCCGAUGAUGAUGAUCUCCGCCGGGUCAUAAUCGAUGCAAGGACGCAAUGCGAAAGUCAAAAGGAGAAGCUGAAGUUCGAUCGCAUGUUAGAGGAUCACAAAAAAGGGUUGUACCCCAAUUGCGAAGAUGGCAACACAAAGCUCGAUACCGUACUGGAAUUGCUGCAGUGGAAGGCAGAGAAUGCUGUGCCUGACAAAGGAUUUGAGAAGCUAUUGAAAAUAUUGAAGAAGAAGCUUCCAAGGGAUAACGAAUUGCCCAACAGUACAUACGCAACAAAGAAGGUCGUAUGCCCUCUAGGAUUGGAGGUGCAGAAGAUACAUGCAUGCCCUAAUGACUGCAUCCUCUAUCGCGGUGCGUACAAGGAUCUGAACGCAUGCCCGGUAUGCGGUGCAUUGCGGUAUAAGAUCAGACGAGAUGACCCUGGUGAUGUUGACGGCGAGCCCCCCAGGAAGAGGGUUCCUGCGAAGGUGAUGUGGUAUGCUCCUAUAAUACCACGGUUGAAACGUCUGUUCAGAAACGAAGAGCAUGCCAAGUUGAUGCGAUGGCACAGUGAGGACCGUAAGAAAGACGGGAAGUUGAGAGCACCCGCUGACGGGUCGCAGUGGGGAAAAAUCGAGAGAAAGUACUGGGCUGAGUUUGCAGCUGACCCAAGGAACGUAUGGUUUGGUUUAAGCGCGGAUGGCAUUAAUCCUUUCGGGGAGCAGAGCAGCAAUCACAGCACCUGGCCCGUGACUCUAUGUAUGUAUAACCUUCCUCCUUGGAUGUGCAUGAAGCAGAAGUUCAUUAUGAUGCCAGUUCUCAUCCAAGGCCCUAAGCAACCCGGCAACGACAUUGAUGUGUACCUAAGGCCAUUAGUUGAAGAACUUUUACAACUGUGGAAUGGAAACGGUGUACGUACGUGGGAUGAGCACAAACAAGAGGAAUUUAACCUGCACGCGUUGCUGUUUGUAACCAUCAACGAUUGGCCCGCUCUCAGUAACCUUUCAGGACAGACAAACAAGGGAUACCACGCAUGCACGCACUGUUUAGAUGACACUGAAAGUAUAUACCUGGACAAAAGCAGGAAGAAUGUGUACCUGGGCCAUCGUAGAUUUCUUCCGACCAACCAUCAAUGUCGAAAGAAAGGCAAGCAUUUCAAAGGCGAGGCAGAUCACCGGAAGAAGCCCGCCAUGCGUACCGGUGAUCACGUACUUGCUAUGGUCAAUGAUUUACACGUAAUCUUUGGAAAGGGUCCCGGCGGACUAGCUGUUCCGAAUGACGCUGAGGGACACGCACCCAUGUGGAAGAAGAAAUCUAUAUUUUGGGACCUACCCUACUGGAAAGAGCUAGAGGUCCGCUCUUCAAUCGACGUGAUGCACGUGACGAAGAACCUUUGCGUGAACCUGCUAGGCUUCUUGGGCGUGUAUGGGAAGACAAAAGAUACACCUGAGGCACAGGAGGACCUGCAACGUUUGCACGAAAAAGACGGCAUGCCUCCGAAGCAGUAUGAAGGUCCUGCGAGCUACGCUUUUACGAAAGAAGAGAAAGAAAUCUUCUUUGAAUGCCUGCUCAGUAUGAAGGUCCCGACUGGCUUCUCGUCGAACAUAAAGGGAAUAAUAAAUAUGCCAGAGAAAAAGUUCCAGAACCUAAAGUCUCAUGACUGCCACGUGAUUAUGACGCAACUGCUUCCGGUUGCAUUGAGGGGGCUUCUACCGGAAAACGUCCGAUUAGCCAUUGUGAAGCUAUGUGCAUUCCUCAAUGCAAUCUCUCAGAAGGUGAUCGAUCCAGAAAUCAUACCAAGGCUAAGGAGUGAUGUGGCGCAAUGUCUUGUCAGUUUCGAGCUGGUGUUCCCACCAUCCUUCUUCAAUAUCAUGACGCACGUCCUAGUUCAUCUAGUCGACGAGAUUGUCAUUCUGGGGCCCGUAUUUCUACACAAUAUGUUCCCCUUUGAGAGGUUCAUGGGAGUCCUAAAGAAAUAUGUCCGUAACCGCGCUAGGCCAGAAGGAAGCAUCUCCAUGGGCCAUCAAACAGAGGAUGUCAUUGGGUUUUGUGUUGACUUCAUUCCUGGCCUUAAGAAGAUAGGUCUCCCUAAAUCGCGAUAUGAGGGGAGACUGACUGGAAAAGGCAUGCUUGGAGGGGACUCAAUAAUAUGCAGGGACGGCUAUUCUUGGUCUCAAGCACACUACACAGUUCUACAGAACUCUACCUUGGUGACCCCGUAUGUCGAUGAACACAAGAACAGUCUGCGCUCCAAACACCCGGAGCAGUGUGACGACUGGAUUACAUGUGAACACAUCAGGACUUUCAGCAGUUGGUUGGAAACACGUCUCAGAGGUGACACCACUGUUUGUGAUGAGUUGUACUCGUUGUCCAGGGGACCAUCUUCGACUGUAUUGACUUACAAAGGAUACGAGAUAAAUGGGAAUACAUUUUACACGAUCGUCCAAGAUCAAAAGAGCACCAACCAAAACAGCGGUGUCCGCUUUGAUGCAGCAACCGAGAGGGGAAAGGACACAUAUUAUGGUUACAUAAUGGACAUAUGGGAACUUGACUACGGACAUGAUUUUAAGGUCCCUUUGUUUAAGUGCAAAUGGGUCAAUCUGUCAGGAGGCGGGGUACAGGUAGACCCACAGUACGGAAUGACAACAGUGGAUCUGAACAAUCUUGGGUACACUGACGAACCAUUCGUCCUAGCCAAUGAUGUGGCACAGGUUAUCUAUGUGAAGGACAUGUCUACCAGACCGAGGAAAAGAAAAGAUAAGGAAGCGAAUACAUCAUACGAUGAGCCAAAGCACCACAUAGUUCUUUCAGGAAAAAGGGACAUUGUGGGAGUGGAGGGAAAGACAGACAUGUCUGAAGAUUAUGAAAAGUUUCAUGAAAUUCCUCCCUUCAAAGUCAAGGCUGACCCAAGCAUCCUGAUAAACGAUGAAGAUUAUCCAUGGUUACGGCGCAAUAAGCAAAUGACACAAGCGAAGGAAAAGUGAAGACUUUCUCCCGCAACUAUUAUGAUGAUACCAUGCCAACUUUGUAAUAGACGAGUAUGAUACCAUUGUCCGUUUCGUACAAGAAGUGCAUCUAGUUUUUGCCGUAACCCUCUCAACUUUCUUGCACAUGCUAUGUGGAUGAAAUGAUGAUACCAUGCCAACUUUCAACCUUUUCAGAGUUCAUUUGAAAUGCUUUUCAAUUUUAGGGUCUUAUAGCUCAAAAUAAUUAGUAAAUGCAUGAAAAAUAACAGGCCAAAAAUUAAAAAUUAUGCCACCUACUGGGCCACCACGGCUUGAAUACGAUUAAAAACCCAUCCAUGGGCCAGGAUUCAGGCCCGCAGAAGGCCCAGUAGGCCCACAGGCAUGUACAGAGAGGUUAGGCCCGUAAGCCUGCUUUAGAGAGGAGCUCGACAGCUUAGGCGCACCGCACCUUAUAAACAGGUGCGGCUCUCUCUCAGCUAGCGAGGUGGGACUAAACUCACCACCACGCCGCUGUGCAAGGCCAUUGGUCCGGGUUGGUGGCACGAACCGGGACCAAUUCCACCCUUUGGUCCCUGUUGGUGCCACGAACCGGUACUAAUGAGGCUGUGGCCCCACGAGCACCUUUAGUACCGGUUCGUGGGACGAACCGGUACUAGAGUUUCUUACUAAGCAGUUUUUUUGUCCCACCUCGCUAGCUGAGAGGCACUAGGAGCGGUUUAUAAGCCCUGAGUGCAGAGACGAUGAAGAAGAGGCGCAAUGCUCACGUUGCUUAGCUUCAAGCCUUGAGGAAUAAGGUAGACUGCAUGGAGCUAUGUGCAGUGCAGUCUACACUAUUCCGAAAGGCUUGAAGCAAAUCAACGAGCAUUGCGCCUCUUUUUUAUUUUUAAUAACUUAUUACAACUCCGGACUUCUUGUGUUCCGACAAAAUAAAAUAAACUUUAAUAAAAUUUAUGAAACUAAAAUUAACAAAGUAUUUUCUGUUCAAAACAUUAUAAGAAACCUCUAUUAUUAUUGAAACUAAAAUCAUAUAAAAUUGAUGCAACUAAAAUUAUCGAAGUAUUUUCUGUUCAAAAUCAUUAAAAGCAAAAAGAAUUUUCAUAAAGAACUUUUUUUGAUAGAAACUUUAAUAGCAAANNNNNNNNNNNNNNNNNNNNNNNNNNNNNNNNNNNNNNNNNNNNNNNNNNNNNNNNNNNNNNNNNNNNNNNNNNNNNNNNNNNNNNNNNNNNNNNNNNNNNNNNNNNNNNNNNNNNNNNNNNNNNNNNNNNNNNNNNNNNNNNNNNNNNNNNNNNNNNNNNNNNNNNNNNNNNNNNNNNNNNNNNNNNNNNNNNNNNNNNNNNNNNNNNNNNNNNNNNNNNNNNNNNNNNNNNNNNNNNNNNNNNNNNNNNNNNNNNNNNNNNNNNNNNNNNNNNNNNNNNNNNNNNNNNNNNNNNNNNNNNNNNNNNNNNNNNNNNNNNNNNNNNNNNNNNNNNNNNNNNNNNNNNNNNNNNNNNNNNNNNNNNNNNNNNNNNNNNNNNNNNNNNNNNNNNNNNNNNNNNNNNNNNNNNNNNNNNNNNNNNNNNNNNNNNNNNNNNNNNNNNNNNNNNNNNNNNNNNNNNNNNNNNNNNNNNNNNNNNNNNNNNNNNNNNNNNNNNNNNNNNNNNNNNNNNNNNNNNNNNNNNNNNNNNNNNNNNNNNNNNNNNNNNNNNNNNNNNNNNNNNNNNNNNNNNNNNNNNNNNNNNNNNNNNNNNNNNNNNNNNNNNNNNNNNNNNNNNNNNNNNNNNNNNNNNNNNNNNNNNNNNNNNNNNNNNNNNNNNNNNNNNNNNNNNNNNNNNNNNNNNNNNNNNNNNNNNNNNNNNNNNNNNNNNNNNNNNNNNNNNNNNNNNNNNNNNNNNNNNNNNNNNNNNNNNNNNCCGGGACCAAAGGUCCCUUUUCAGCAGCGCAAAGGGCGGGAAGCGGCGGCCUUUGGUCCCGGUUGGUGGCACCAACCGGGACUAAAGGGUGGCAUUGGUCCCGGUUGGUGCCACGAACCGGGACCAAUGCCCUUGCUAUAUAACCAGGACUUGUGAAAAUUUCACAUCUCCCUCGCCUCCCUAGCCAGUUGCCCCCGCCGCCAGGCUGCCCAAAUCGCUCGCGCGCUCCUCAUCGCCGUCGCCGCCGCCAGCCGCCAUCCCUGUCUCCCAGUGCCCCUGCCCCGCGCUCGAGCCCACGCCGGCCGCCGCCCCGUGCCCCUGCCCCGUCCCCGAGCACGCACGGCCGCACCCCUGCGCCUCGGCCCGCCCCCACCAUUGUCGUCGUCGCCGGCACCCACCCCCACUGCCGCCCAUGCCUCGACGCCGCCCCUCCUCCCCGUUCGGUCCGGCUCCGGCGACCCCCUUUCCUCCCUGUCCCCUCGAUCCUCUUCAUAUAAUUUUUUGUAUGAUUUUUUUCAUAUGCAUAUGUUGAUUAUAUGGAUGGAUGGAUGAUGUAUAUGUUCAUUAUAUGGAUGGAUGGAUGAUGUAUGCUUUUUUUCAUAUAAUUUUUUAGGCAGAUUUUUAGAAUUUUUUGUGUAUGUAUGUUAUGUUUAUAUGUAUGUAUGUAUGUAUGUUUAUAUGCAAAGAAAAUGUAUGAAUGGUCAUAUGCAAAGAAAAAUAUAUGUAUGGUCAUAUGCAAAGAAAAUGUAUGUAUAUAUGUUCAUAUGAAAGAAAAAUGUAUGUAUGUAUGUUCAUAUGCAUAUGCAAAGAAAAUGUAUGUUCAUAUGCAUAUGCAAAUAAAAUGUAUGUUCAUAUAUAUGAUGAUAUGUUCAUGUAUGAGUAUAUGUAUGUAUAUAUGUUCUCUGUGUAUAUAUAUGUUCAUGUAUAUAUGCAAAAGAUAGAUUUUUAGAAAAGUUAGGAUUUUUUUCUGUUCAUAGAUUGUUUUGGUGAUAUUAAUUAUUGUAGAAUAUGCAAAUGUUUGUAUAUUCAUAUGAACAAUGCAUUAGGCAAAACCUUUACUGUUUUUCGAAAAAAAAUUAUGAAUGAGAGGAAAAAGGAAAAUAAGAAGAGGAAGAAAGGAGAAGAAGAGGAGAAAUAAAUAAGAAGAGGAAAAAAGAAGAAAAAGAAGAGGAGAAGAAGAAAGGAAUAGAGGAGAGAAGAAGAAAAAAUAGAAUUUUUUCUAUUUUUUCUUCUUCUCUUCUAUUCCUUUCUUCUUCUCCUCUUUUUUUUCUUCGAUCUUCUCUAUUCCUUUUCUUCUUCUCCUCUUUUUAUUUCUUCUUCGUUUUCUUAUGUUUUAUCGGGUCUGUCGUCGUCGAUAUACCCCUCUCCCGAUAACUUCAACAUGAGGGGGGGGGUCGAUAUACCCCCUCCCCGAUAAUAUUAUUUUUCCAUGUACGUAUGUCGUCGUUGUCGAUAUAACCCCCUCCCGAUAACUUCAACACGUGGGGGGGGUCGAUAUACCCCCUCCCCGAUAACAUUAUUUUCCCAUGUAUGUAUGUCGUCGUUGUCGAUAUAUAUAACUCCCUCCCAGAUAACUUCGACAUGAUGGACGGUCGAUAUUUAUACCCCCUCUCGACCGUGAUAACUUAUACCACGGGAGCACCCCCCGGCCCUCUCGCUCGACCAAAACUCUCGAGGACACCCAAACCCUAGAAAAAAACGAUGUCGGUCUCCUACCCCCUCCCGCCGCGCCCCUACCCUUGAAGCGUUGCCGAGGCCACCCCAAACCCGGAAUAAGCUAGGUCUACGUUUGCACUAAUAUAUCCACCUGCUGUCAUGUCUGUGUAAUAAUUGCCAUGUUGUAAUAUUUGCAGAAACAAUGGAGCACGGACGAGACGAGCAAGCAGAAGAGGUGUUGGGGGACACAAUCUUAGCUGGAGGUGAUAUCUUGUCGUAUCUUAACGACAAUGAUGGUCUGGAAGAACAGGGUCAAGAAACAGGCUACGGUGAUCGAAGAGUGGAGGAGGAAAGACAUGAUUAUGAUGGCUCCGGUGACCCAAUGCUGGUACAAGAAGGAGCCCGUGGUGAUGGCUCCGGUGACCGAACAGAGUCCGGCCAGGUAAAUAUAUUAGUUAAGCCUGUGCUGACUAGCUAAUUGAUGCAUUCAUUGUUUUUGGUAUGUACACAUAUUAAUUAACACUCGUCUUUCUUCUUUUUUCUAGCCCUCCGGAUCGAGCACAACUGCGGUAAAGAGACGGGGCCCGAAGAGAAAGUUGCGCUCAGAUGAAAGAUUUGAGAUCACAGCAAUCGCGCGCGACGGCCAAGCGAUUGAACCCAUCCGGACAAAGGAUGCAUUUGCUGCUCAGUGCGGGAUUCUAGUUAGGGACAAGAUCCCGAUCAGCAUCCACCAAUGGUAUAAGCCUAAGAAGGAAGACCCUGAGGUGUCUUAUGUCAAUGAUAUGCAGAAAGAUGAUCUUUGGACUGAGCUGAAGGCAAAUUUCACCCUACCGCCAGAGGAGGAUCCGGAGAAGCCAGUUAAAGAGCAAUUAAUCAAGUCUCAUGCUCUUAAGAAGAUGGCAGACCUAUUCAAGAGGUGGAAUAAUGAGCUGAAAACGUUUGUCGACAAAGAAGAGACAUCAGAAUUCAUCGGCCGGUAUGAGAAGAUCAGAGAUCACUGGCCCGCAUUUGUGGCCCACAAGACAUCGGAAAAGAGUAAGAAGAUGUCAGCGACAAACAAGAAGAAUGCUGCGAAGAAGAAGCUUCACCAUCGCACGGGGUCAGGUGGCUACCUCAAAGCCCGACCUAAGUGGGCCAAGGCUGAGAAUGAUCUGCUUGAAAAAGGGAUCGAACCACAGACAAUGAACUGGACAGACAGUUGUCGGACUUGGUUCUUCGGGGCUGGCGGAACCUUGGACCCUGUAUCAGGGAGGUGCUUUUGGACGAACGAGCUUUUGAGAAUACCAGUCAAGAAGAUUCAGCAAUAUAUCGAUGCAGCGCAGGAAGGGACGUUCGUUCCAGACAGAGAGAACGACGAGCUCACAAUGGCCCUCGGGAAUCCUGAGCACCCUGGACGGACACGAGGCACGCCAGGCUCCAUUCCGUGGAAGGCUAGUUUUCGACGCGGGCGGUUACAAAACCCAGGAGAGGAGGAAAAAAGUGGAGCAGAUCCAAAUUCAGAAGCUGCACUAAAGGGUUCAAGCGCUAGACGAACGAGACGGCAAUCGACAUGCCGAAACUGCCCCCGAAGCUACACCGCCAUCUCAGCGGAGAAGCAGCGUGGCUUCCACCGAGCUGCUUCAGCUGGAGCAUGCGGCUCCUGCUAGCUACCCCGUGGAUGCUAUCACGGAGUCUCAACAUUGCCACCUUAUGGCGGAAUGGCAGAACUUCAAAGUCAAGGCGGCUGUUGGCUCUGUUUUACCUCCUGAACCCGGCGCAACCUACCACUACCGGCCGAUUCCAGAAGGAUAUGCUAGGGUGAUGGUGGAUGAAAUAACGGAGGGAUUUGAGGAGCUCCAGCUUGACCACCCUACCGGUGAAGGGGAGACUCGGCUGGGUUCUGCUCUGAAGACUCCAUGCCUAUGGCGGAAGGAGCUCAUCAAGCUUCCGAACUGGACGGCUCCGGCGAGUAAGGGCACUCCGCCUCCUCCUCCGGCGAGUGAUCAGGGCACUCAGCCUCCUUCUCCGGCGCGUGGCGGCACUCCGCCUCCUUCUCCGCCUGCGCCGGCGCGCCAGAGCAGCCAGCCUCCUCCUUCUCUGCCUCGUCAGCAAGGGCGGAAGAGACUCGCCGCCGCUGCGGCUGCUCCGGCGUGUCGUAGUCCUUCUCCUCCGCCUCGUAAGCAAGGAAAGAAGACAGCCGCAGCCGCUCCGCCUGCUCUGCCGGCGUCUAGCAGUACAGCUGCCAGAGGCGGGAGGCAAUACAGAUUCGGUCCUUCUCUGAAGACUCCAGAGAAGUUACCAUAUGAGAGGACCGAGGAGGAAACUAGGAAGAUCGUGCGAGCCGAAGUGACAAACUUCUUUGAAGGGGUGAAAGCAAAGAAACAUCCACCUCCGGAGGAGAAGGUAGAUCCGGUGAAAGCAAAGCGCACUCUGGCUGCCUUGACAAAACCACCAAAGUCUCCGCCGAGAGGCAACUAUGAGCGCAUUCUUGCAAAGACAUAUGCCGAAGCGGAGCGGUCGGGAAGUACUGUCAGUGAUCAAAGGUUAAAAGAACGACGAGCUGGGAAAAAAAUUGCCCAGCUCGGCGAACAAGCGAACCAAUCGUGCCCCCCGCUCAAGGUGUCAAAAGACAUCGUCGCUAAUGAUCCGAGGAUGGUGGCCGGUUAUAGCAAUCUUGGAGAUUACCUGCCCGAUGAUGUACAUUAUGAAAUCAUGGAGGUCGACGAACACAAAUACCAUUACGGGAAGCCUCUCGUCAAAGAUGAAAGAUCUCUAACAACGAUGAUGCGAAGACUACAUGAUUGGUACAUGAAAACCUGCAGAGAGUCUGAUGGGAUGAAUACUUUGACGCUGAGAGUUAAACCGGAGCAUCACCUCGUUGGAAUUGAUCUGUUGAAUGUUCCAUUUGAGGAUUUUUUCCAGUUUUACAAUCAAAAGGCCCUCGAUAAAACAACGAUCACUUGCUACUGUCUGUAAGUAGUACUACUUCUGUCAUUAAGUCUCUCUAUAUAGGUCAGGUCUUUCAUUGCAUGUAUUUAUAAUUAUCCUCACUAUAUUAUGCAGAUUGAAGAUUGCGAAUUGAAGAAAAGACAAAUCGGUGAUAUUGGGUUCAUUAACACAAAUCUCAUAGAUGCAUAUACGGUUGAAAAACAUCCCAAAGAAGCCGAGGCCAACUUGCUACAAUCGUUGGUAUUAAAUCAAAACAAAGAUAUAAUACUCUUUCCUUACAACUUCAAGUGAGUGUUACUGUCUUGUGCAUAUUCGGUUUCCCUUAUUAGUCCAGGUUAUGGUAAUGUAAUUGAUGACUUAUGCAUGCAUGCGCAGCUUCCACUAUAUUCUCCUAGAGAUUAAGCUUGAGCAGGGAGUAGUAACCGUCUUAGACUCGAGACGAAAAGAUCCCCAGGACUAUGCGAACAUGACUCAAAUGCUCGAGAAGUAAGUUAAAUCGAUCAUUAUCCACCAUAUCAGCAACUUUGUUCAUUUCCUGAUAUCAAGUAAUUGUUUUCUUUGUCUGGCAGGGUUUGGAGAAAAUUCACCGCAAAAGCUCCGGGACUGCCGAAGAAGCUGCAAUUUAAACACCCGAAAGUAAGUACUAUAGUAGCAUGUUCCGGCAUCUCCUAGUGAUUCAAGCGCUAGUUUCAUCAAUAGCAUUUAGCAUGCUUGCUUAUCAAUUUGAUUGACCUCUAUUUCUUGUAAAGUGGUUGUGGCAGGAACCCGGGAAUAAUUACUGUGGAUACUACGUUUGCGAGUCCAUCCGCUACACGACCUGUGAGCGGGGCUACACUGAAGAACAAUAUGAAGUGCGUAAGCAAUAAUAUUCACAAUUUUAUUUUAUUACCAUCAUUUGUGUUGAGUUUCAUUUAUUCAUAUAUAUAUAUGUAUUGACCCCCUUCUUCAAAUUAGAUGUUUCGGAAGCGGGAUGAACUCCUAGCACCAGAUCGUAUGCGAGGAAUUCAAGAGGAAUUGGCGGCAUUCUUCCUUGACCACGUGAUCGCUGAAAACGGAGAAUACUAUGUGGACCCUGUGUUCCUACAAUUUAAUUAGGAGAUCGUAUUGUAAGAGAUAAUCAUUGUAUAUAUGUAGCCGGUAGUCUCGGAUAGAUAUACGAGAACUUGUUGUUCGACCAAUCUCUCGGAGAAGGAGAGGUGGUCGAUAUCACUUCUCUCUGUAUGCAUAUGUUCAUGACGAUCUUCUGUUUCCUUCAUUUGAUUACUAGCUAGCGUGUCUAGUCCUCUCCAUACGUAUAUAGUACGUAGCGUCGACCAAGCACGGAGAUAGGAGAGGACACUUCUCUCUAUUAAUUAGCUAGCUAACACAAUAUAUGAAACACCUAAAUUAACCCCCCAAAACCCCUAAACCACCCCCUUUCAAAAAAAAACAAAAACCUCAGCUCCUGCCAGCUGCUGACGCGUGGAUGCCUAUUGGUCCCGGUUGGUGACACCAACCGGGACAAAAGGCCCUGCCUAUUAGUCCCGGUUGUUGGCACCAACUGGGACCAAAGGCCCCCCUGCCUGGGCUGGCAGCAGCGGCCACGUGGAGGACCUUCUGUCCCGGUUCGUGUAAGAACCGGGACUAAAGGGUUAGGGCUUUAGUAACGACCCUUUAGUCCCGGUUCGAAAACCGGGACAAAAGGCCCUUACAAACCGGGGUAAAAGCCCCAUUUCCUACUAGUGCUAGGUAACUAAGCAUACUAGAGCUAACUUAGAGCUAAGUUAGGUCAUUUUGGAGAAGAAGAAGAAGAAGGUUUUUACCCUUUUCCUUCUCAUUCUUCUUCUUUUAUUCUUUCUUUUUCUUCUCUUUCUUCUUCUAUUCUUUCUUUUUCUCCUCUUCCUUGUUUUCCUUCUUCUUAUUCCUUAUUUGUGUCAUUUUAGAGUUUACAUAGGUACUUAUGUCAUUUUUUAGCUAACUAAGCUUAUUAUGUCAAUUUGGAGGAAAAUAAGGUAAGUAUAGGUCAUUUUUGUGCUAACAUAACUAAUUAUGCCAUUUUUGAGCUAACGUAGGUAAAAUGGAUCAUUUUGGAGCUAACCUAGCUAAAAUGGAUCAUAUUGGAGCUUGAUAACCCACAAGUAUAGGGGAUCGCAACAGUUUUCGAGGGUAGAGUAUUCAACCCAAAUUUAUUGAUUCGACACAAGGGGAGCCAAAGAAUAUUCUCAAGUAUUAGCAGUUGAGUUGUCAAUUCAACCACACCUGGAUAACUUAAUAUCUGCAGCAAAGUAUUUAGUAGCAAAGUAGUAUGAUAGUAAUGGUAAUAGUAGUAAAAGCAAUAUUUUUGGGUUUUGUAGUGAUUGUAACAGUAGCAACGGAAAAGUAAAUAAGCGAAGAACAAUAUGUGAAAAGCUCGUAGGCAUUGGAUCGGUGAUGGAGAAUUAUGCCGGAUGCGGUUCAUCAUGUAACAAUCAUAACAUAGGGUGACACAGAACUAGCUCCAAUUCAUCAAUGUAAUGUAGGCAUGUAUUCCGAAUAUAGUCAUACGUGCUUAUGGAAAAGAACUUGCAUGACAUCUUUUGUCCUACCCUCCUGUGGCUGCGGGGUCCUAGCGGAAACUAAGGGAUAUUAAGGCCUCCUUUUAAUAAAGUACCGGACCAAAGCAUUAACACAUAGUGAAUACAUGAACUCCUCAAACUACGGUCAUCACCGGGAGUGGUCCCGAUUAUUGUCACUUCGGGGUUGCCGGAUCAUAACACAUAGUAGGUGACUAUAGACUUGCAAGAUAGGAUCAAGAACUCACAUAUAUUCAUGAAAACAUAAUAGGUUCAGAUCUGAAAUCAUGGCACUCGGGCCCUAGUGACAAGCAUUAAGCAUAGCAAAGUCAUAGCAACAUCAAUCUCAGAACAUAGUGGAUACUAGGGAUCAAACUGUAACAAAACUAACUCGAUUACAUGAUAAAUCUCAUCCAACCCAUCACCGUCCAGCAAGCCUACGAUGGAAUUACUCACGCACGGCGGUGAGCAUCAUGAAAUUGGUGAUGGAGGAUGGUUGAUGAUGACGAUGGCGACGGAUUCCCCUCUCCGGAGCCCCGAACGGACUCCAGAUCAGCCCUCCCAAGAGAGUUUAGGGCUUGGUGGCGGCUCCGUAUCGUAAAACGCGAUGAAUCUUUCUCUGUGAUUUUUUUCUCCCCGAACACGAAUAUAUGGAGUUUGAGUUAAGGUCGGUGGAGCUCCAGGGGGCCCACGAGGCAGGGGGGGCGCGCCCAGGGGGGCAGGCGCGCCCCCACCCUCGUGGCAAGGGUGUGGGCCCCCUGGCCUUGAUUCUUUUGCCAGUAUUUUUUAUUAUUUCCAAAAAUAUUCUCCGUGGAGUUUCAUGUCAUUCCGAGAACUUUUGUUUCUGCACAUAAAUAACACCAUGGCAAUUCUGCUAAAAACAGCGUCAGUCCGGGUUAGUUCCAUUCAAAUCAUGCAAGUUAGAGUCCAAAAUAAGGGCAAAAGUGUUUGGAAAAGUAGAUACGACAGAGACGUAUCAGAGCUAACCUAGGUAAACUUGGUCAUUUUGGAACUAACCUAGGUAAAAUGGAUCAUAUUGGAGCUAACCUAGGUAAAAUGGGUCAUAUUGGAGCUAACAUAGGUAAAAUGGGUCAUUUUGGAGCUAACUUGACUAAUUAUGUCAUUUUUAGUUAACUAAGCAUAAUUAUGCCAUUUUUUACAUAAGUAAGCCAAGUGUAUGUCAUUAUUGAGCAAACCUAGGUAACUAAGCAUAUUAGAGAUAACUUAGCAUAUUAGAGCUAACUUAGGUCAUUUCGGAGGAAACAAAGCUAAGUAUAGAUCAUUUUGGAGAUCUGACAUACCUGACAUAGUUCACUCCUCCUUCUUCUCCUUCAUCAUGCUGAUGUGCCUAGAGCGGCGAGGCAGUGGGAUGUAGUCUUCUACCACAAUUGGCAUGGUCAUGUUGCCCGGCUGUGGGAUCGCCGGCGCCACCACCAUCGCGAGGUCAUUGUCAGGCACCACCACCAUCGCGAGGCCAUCUUCAGGCAGAACCAUCGCUAGGUCAUCCUCAGCCACCACCAUCUCUUGCCCAUCGUCAGCCACCACCAUCGUUUGGCCAUCGUCAGCCACCACCAUCGCGAGGUCAUCGUCAGACAGAAUAGGUUGCACCUCCUCAUCCCCACUCUGCUCCUCUUCUUCCCCACUCCAUUCCGGAUCAUCCUUGCUGCUGCUUUCGCUGUAGCCAAACUCGCUGCUGCUUUGGUUAUAGCCAGAGCCGCUGCUCCGAUUGCCUGACCAAAUGCAACAAAGUUUUUUUAACGAUCAGUGUGAGACAAAGCCAAAUGGAGAGGAAGAAGAGGCAGAGCGUACUGGCAUCGUCGUCGUCCUGGUAGCGCAUGCGGCACAUAGUCGUGUUGAACACCUUCACGGUGAGCAUGGCGUCGCCGUCGUACCUGAAGACAAGGAAGUACCCGUGCCUUAGGUCGUAGGUACGGACGAACUGCUCCCAGCCACGACACAGGUACAUGUGGUCAUUCCUGAUCACCACCUCCACGUCCCAAAGCCUGCGAAGCCCGCUGCCGGCCUGUCACAGCUUCACAUUCUUUGGCCGAUGGCCGUCUAGCAUCUCCAUAGAAGUGUUAGGCAGCCUCUGCAACGUGGGUCAAGGAGUGAUGUAGCAAACAGCAGAGUUAUGAUAAAGAGAUGGUUGAAUGGGAGAUCUCUCCUUUUAUAUACCUGCCUCUUGGAGGAAUUCUCAAGUAUGAUCGUGAAGAACUCGAAACCUUCCAACUCGAACUCCGGUGUGGCAGAGCGUAGCCUGCGGUGGCGGCCUCCCCCCAUCUCUGAUAAUCAACAACAUCAACAACACUUAAUUAAUUUCGUAGGUUAGUUGUCAAUGGCAAUUGGCACCCUUCAAAACUAGGGAUUUUUUAGACAUGAAAGCACAACCAAAAUAACAACCCUAAACUCCUAAUACGUACAGAAUGCACAAGUUGUUCUGAAAUUUUGCACUCAUUAGCAACCACUUCAGAUAACACGAAGCAGCACCAUUUAUAUCCAAUCAAAGAAAGGCCUCAACAAUGUUUCCAAAUUAGUGGGUUUUUGGACCACUAGAACACAACUUAACAUAAAACAACAACUUAUAAGAAAUAACCCUACCAUCUAAAACCCUAAAAAUGAUAGGAUCCUAAAAGCGCCAAAUAAUAAUACACUACACUCAGGAGCACAAUACUCUUCCUCAGAGAUCAGUGUUAACAAACAAACGCAAUAACUCCACAUCAACUUGUAAAUAAAAAUCCAACAGCAGCAUCACCCCCGAGUCUAACGGUAAGAGCAUCCGGACAAACCACAAGAGAAGCGCAGCAAGGGGUCUUACCGCAACCCAAACCUAACUGCUAAGUUGUGCAUUCAACGAUUUCGUGCUUAAAACCUAAACCCAAAAUUUGAUCUUUCCUAACUCAUUAUCUUUUUAGUCAAAUCUUCAUUGAAUCCAGCAAAAAAAAAGAGAAAAAACAAGCACACAUGAUCAAACCCUAAACCGUUUUAUCUGUGCUAAAACCCCUCUUUUGUUUUUUUGGCAAAACAUCAUAUGUGAAAACUAUGGAUUUCGAUUACCGGCAGUGCAGAAAACCUAGAUCUGAACCUUAGACAGCAAAAAAAUAAAAUAGAAAUAAGGCAGUAAGCUCCAAAACUUAUGUUAAUUGAGUGUAAAUUGAGAAGAUUUUAUGUAAAUCUAUCUAUGUAUUCCGUCAGGGUGAAAAAGAAACGAAAUGGUCAUGGCCGGGUUGGGUUGGUCCCAAAAGACACACAGUCGAAGCAACAGGCAGCACAGCACCAUGAGUGGAGUGCGCCCCGGCCGAAUGAACCAAAGGUUUGGGUUGGUUUGGCGCACCCACACUCGGCGGUUCACUGCGACUCGCGCCGCUCCACUCCACUCUCCCCAACCUCUGCCUCCAGUCCCAAAUCUCUUUCUUGAUUCUUUCUCCAUACGCACUGCACCGCACCGGCGCAUCACCACCCCGUCGGGCCCUCCCUCCGUCUUGGUCUACCCCAGCCAGCCUCUUCCAAGGGUGGGCCGAGCGAGCUGCAGAAAUUCCUUCCCCGACAAAGAAAGAAAGAAACGCGCGCGCGUGCGUAUAAAUCCAUCCGACCCAUCCAUAGGCCAACAACGAAGACGCGCGCAGGCAGCGCCGCGCCUGCCGAAUCCCCUCCUUCCCCUCCACCCGAUCCCAUGACCUAACUACGAGCAUCUGCUAAGUUGUGCAUUCAACGAUUUGGUAACGGCAAAACCCAUGACCUAACUACGAGCAUCCAUCACCUCACCAAGAAACUAACUGAAGAACCUAAACCUAAACCUAAACACAGAGAGAGAGAGAGGAGGGAGGGAAGAGGGAGGGGUGGCGCACCUCGGUGUUGGGGACGGCCGGGGUCGGGGGAGGGGCCGGGCCGGGGGGGUCGACGGUGACNNNNNNNNNNNNNNNNNNNNNNNNNNNNNNNNNNNNNNNNNNNNNNNNNNNNNNNNNNNNNNNNNNNNNNNNNNNNNNNNNNNNNNNNNNNNNNNNNNNNNNNNNNNNNNNNNNNNNNNNNNNNNNNNNNNNNNNNNNNNNNNNNNNNNNNNNNNNNNNNNNNNNNNNNNNNNNNNNNNNNNNNNNNNNNNNNNNNNNNNNNNNNNNNNNNNNNNNNNNNNNNNNNNNNNNNNNNNNNNNNNNNNNNNNNNNNNNNNNNNNNNNNNNNNNNNNNNNNNNNNNNNNNNNNNNNNNNNNNNNNNNNNNNNNNNNNNNNNNNNNNNNNNNNNNNNNNNNNNNNNNNNNNNNNNNNNNNNNNNNNNNNNNNNNNNNNNNNNNNNNNNNNNNNNNNNNNNNNNNNNNNNNNNNNNNNNNNNNNNNNNNNNNNNNNNNNNNNNNNNNNNNNGGGGGAGAGAGAGAGAGAGGAGGGUGAGGUGAGGUGGGGCGCCGACACUUAGUGGAGUGGGCCCGGGGGCAAACGGCCAGUUUCUUUACCGUCUGCUGGCUGACGGCGCCGUCAGCUAGCGGACGGCAAAGAAACUGGCCGUUAGGUCAUCCCUAUAUUCCGCCAUCCACCAUCUUUGCCGUCUGCUAGCGGACGACAAAAAACAGGCUGACGGCAAACGCCUUCAUUUCCGUCCGCUCUUUCUUUGCCGUCAGCUUUAUUUAAACUAAUGACAAAGAACUUCUUUGCCGUCAGCUAGCCGACGGCAAAGAGCUGGCUGGCGGCAAAGAUUCUGAUUUCAGUAGUGUCCGAUCGAUGGGGGAUGUUGGGUACCAACGACGACCACAUACGGAUUGGGCUUUAAUAGUACAGAUUAUUUGAACGACUAUGAAAUGUCACGAGGCCAAACUAGUAGUGCUACAAGAGAAAAAUAAUAAUCAUACACUUCUUGUACUUUGAUGUUGACUUCAAUUCAAUUUUAAUUGAAUUUUUUCCACCAUUAAAAAUCUGCAUGGAGUCCGUAGGCCUCACUUGAUCUGAACAGUGACGGUCGCAACAUUGUCAUUUUCUAUAUCUAUACUUCUAUACUACUAUUAAAAAAGCAAACAUCAAUUACCCUAAAUCCAUCAAAUUUAGUGUACACAAGAAAAUCAGAACCCUUGGAUUUAACCCACUUAAUUGUAUCUAAGAGCCCAUAUUACUUCGGUGGUCGGCCAUCGAAACAAACGUACGCGAUUAAAUGUUCUGCCAGUCUGCCAGCAACGUACGGUCUCCACGCAUGCCCACUAAUCCACUCACGACCUCAUUACCCCUGAACUAACAUGACGUCUCAUUUGCAAACAAAAAAAAAAACAUCACGUCUCCAACUCCAACCCAGUCGCCACAGAACUCCUCCCAAUUCCCAUCGCCGCCGCCCGCCGCUCCUCCUCUCCUCUGCUACCCUAGGCACGAGGAAUCAACCUCCUAAAGCAACUGGAGCGGCAAGCGGCGGAGGAAUGGAGAGAUGGCGUGUGCGGCGGCGGGAAGGAGAUGGGACGGGCGUCCUACAUCCGGAUCAAGCACGAUGAGGAGCGGUGCAAGGCGUCCAGGAAGGAGCCCGAGGGGCGCGGCGCUUCUUCGGCCUUCAGGUCGUGGCAGCCAGCGGCCGUCGCGGGCACGGAGGCACCGCGCGCCAUCCUGGUGGGGCGGCCCACUGGGUGGCCGAAACCCCGGCCGUUGUAGAUUCAGUGAUCGAUUCCAAUAGCCAAGAUUGCAUGGUAGUCUAGGUUUGGUUGUGAGUUCUUUAUCGCUGGGGAUUGGAUUGGAUGGCGUAGUACUACAGGGCAAGAAGCCACAAUUGAAUGGCAGUAGUAUUUCUUCUUUUUGUUGUCAGAAACCUUUUUUGUGUCGAUUACAAAGCAAGAAACUGCUUGGUUGUUCGUGCAAAAAAUGGUUCGUCGUUCCUAAUUUUUCUGAUUUUUGUUGCCCAUGGAACGUAGGCCAUCUACAACGUCAGUGCCCUCAACGGGGUUUGGCAUGACUUGCUGGUCUCCGUGUGCUUCAGUGCUCUCCAGCCAUGAUGUCGUCUCAGGACUGUUCGAUGGCGCCCUCGACGACAUGUGUGGCGGGGCACAACGACAUGCGUGUCCAAUCCUGAUUCCUUCAGCUAUUUGUGUUUCCUUCUUGGGUGUCCUGUGGGUGCACGAAGACACCAUCUAAUUAAGAGUUUUCAUUUCUUUCAUAUAUGCAAUGGUUUGCGGUAUACAGUUUUUUAUAUAGAGUCCCAGUUUUGAUGUUUUACAAAAUGAAAGAACUAUGUAGAAAUUCCCCCUAAUGCUUAAUUGGUUACUUAUUUCUCUCAUUUUCCAUUGUAUUAUGAUUGAGAAGAUACGGUUGGGCCUAUGAGAAGAACAUCCACUCUUUAAUUGCAGGGGGUGCAGGCGAGGUAGUGCUGCCGCCCUUCCUCUACAGACCAAUCCCUCCACGUCAUAUCUUCAUUUCCCUCCCACAUCUCUUGCUUCUCUCUUCCAUCUAGAUUAGCCCCUGGAUAUGGACGAUGUCAUGUCCUCCAUUGCCGCUGUUGCUAUAAUAUGAUUUAUUACAACUUGUCUGAAUCGGUUAGAAGAGGAUUGAUCAAUUGUUUCGUGAGCAUUCAUAUACGUUUAAGUUUCAUUAUCAUCUGAAGUGUGAACUUGCUUCAAACAGUCAAUCUACCUUCCUGCCACAGAUUUCUUUGCAUCGGUGAUUGUGUAGGAAACGUCUUUCUUCCAAAGAGUAAAUGUUUUCAGACCACAUAUUUAUGGUCUGUUUUGUUCAGAUAAGUGAUUCAAUGCGUAGCAAUGUAGUCUUUCGUAGAAUUUGUACUGAACGAUUCUUUUUGAACUCUAAAUAUUCUUAUUGACCACCAAGAUUGUAGCCCACAAAUUAAAAGGUAAACGCUUAUUCCUCUCUGUCCAGGAUACUAUUGUGAGAUGGUCUGAUACAUAAAAGACGGCCUCAAGCCCCUCUGCGGAUGCGUCCAGUCUCGCUGUUCUACAAAUUUCGCUGGAACAACGAUCUUCCAACUUCGCCGGAACGCCGACCACAUGUGCUCCACCUGAGGUACGUUGUUCUAAAAUAUACACAGCCAAGUCAUGAGUAGCCUUGAAGUAGCAAGCUUUUAUGUUUCAACUAGGUGCUGGGGCGCGCCCUUGGCGCGCCUCUUGAGGUGGAGCUGUGCGCCCUUGUAUUGUGGGAGCACCUCAACGCCCUGCUAUAGACAUCCUACAGAGUCUAGGUUGGUCCUCUGCUAAUAGCAAAUUAAUAGUAGUUGGUUGUCAAAGUUAUUUGUUUUCUUUUCUAUAGAAAGGCUGAAAGCUUGAAAUGAAUCAACAUUUUUCAUGCCAUUUAGAUCAAAACUAAAAACAAACACAUUAUAAAUUAUCUAGCUAAGCCAUUGUAUAUAUUAGCUAGACCCCCUGUCAAUUUGUUAAACACCUUCGCUGUCACCCACUAAGAAUAUUUUUGUCCUUGCUCAUUCUCAGACCACAUGCUCAAUUAUUGGUAAACGAAAUCACCUUCAAGCUUGCUGCCCAAACUCCAAAAUGCUUCCUUAAGAUUCAUGUUAUAUAUUGGUGAAGUUAAUAUUCCAGAGGGCCUUCAGAAGGUUUGACAUAUAGACUCCUUCAGGAGGGCCCCUUAACAAAGGGAUAACAAGAAAAAAUCACGAAGUGUUGAUGCAGUGCAAAACCAAUAGGUGAUCACUCUGGAUCGACAAAAAAAAAAAAAAGUGGUCUCUUCACACUUCUGUGCACAUGCUUAACAAAGAACACAACCUAAUGCAUUGCAUCAACUGGAAUGAAAUAAAUCACAUCGGUUAAAUAGUCAAUCUGUGUUAGUGGCAAUGUUCAUUUGUAAAUAAAAAAACAGAACACAAGUACCCAUACUAUGCCCAAGCUAGAUGACCCACACAAAACGGUAUCCUUCUCUUUAUGUUGUAGUCUGCAUAUCCAAACCAAACAAACAUACCCCACAAAAUUCUAAUAGGAUUGCAAAGCUGGAAGCACCUGACCAUAAAUGUCUUCAAGUUUGGCUCCUGAAUCCUUCAUAAAGCUCUACAGCGCAGCUUACACAAACAAAAUACAACUGGACCCUUGAUAGGAUCGUAUUAAAGACAUCAUAAAAGCAACAUAGUACAUAUUGUACAAUCAGUAGCUCACAAGGUUUGCAAGUGAAAUGUCCAGGCUAUGCAAACUUACAGCCUCAGAUAUUUUCUCAGGUGUAGAAAAUGCAACACAAGUAGACCCCUUGCAAACACCAAAAUGUCCAGGCUAUGCAAAGUUACAGCCUCAGAUAGUAACUGUACUUGACUAACUUUAGUACAUACACAUUUAAAGGCACUGGCACAAACAAAAUGGGAUGAGUAACACACAGUGUUACACGGUAGACGGCACACACACAAAUUGUACGCAUGAUAGAGCAUGGUAGCAUACUGUCUAGUAAAUGAACAAACAUCUAGGAAAGAACAUCCAAUAAGUCCCAAUAAAAUGCUUAAAAGAAGAUGUCGCAUACUACCUAAUCACAAAGAAACAACAAAAAUACAAGAUUUUGACGAGCUGUAUAGCAAAAGAAAAUGUGAGACAAAGGGAGUAUAUAGCAAUAGAAAAUGAUAGCUAACCAUGAAUAUCAGAAAAUGGUAAGUAAUGAAGACAUGUCGCACGACUGAAAAACCUUACAAUACCUACAGAGACAUAAAAUCGACAAAUCGUUGAAUAGUAGUAGAUGAUGAGAUGCCAAUAUCCUGAUGGUAGAUUGCAUUCGAGAUAGUCUAAAUGGGCAAAAAAUUGAGAAGAGGUGUACCACAACCUGGUUAUUUCAUAUCUCUUGCAUUUAUUUCCUGUACCACAAUUUUAUGGAGCUCAUUAAUAUGCAUACACAGAUGUACACUGAACAAUAUCAGCAAAUCUACAUUGUUUAAGUGCCAGAAUAUAUUGUUCAUAAAUGCUGAAAUGAUCAAAUAUGUUUGGCAUACCUUCUCCACUGCAUGAAUUAAUAUAUUAACAAAUUAAGCUGCACUCUAGUUUUCACCAAAGCUCAAGUGAUCACAAGAUACGUAGUUUGAGAACCAUUCCAACGUUGCUCGAGAAGCAUAACUGAAGUACUAAACAUGCCAAAAUAUCUGGAGGUACAGUCAGAUUGAAUACAAAAAAAUCAAUAUGCUCUGGAAUAAUUACAAAACAUGCCAAAAUCUUUGGAGCGAGGUACACACUGAGUUAAUUCACAAAAAUCAAUGCUGAAGAAGAAUAACUGGACAUGCCAAAAUCUCUGGAGAUAAAGCCUGAAUGAAUCGAGAAAAUUCAAGCUGGUGGAUGGAGCCAUUGGCAUACAACUAAGUUUUACCAAUAAGGACAUGCGCUUAAAAUAAAGACCAAGUUCAAUGCCAUAUGAUAUUACCAAAGCAGAGAAUACCAAAGGAAACAAAUAGAUUGUUCUGCUACCUGAUAAAUACUUGAUAUAUGAAUCCGUAACAUAUUUACAAUAUCUCAUAAUGAGUGACUUUGAUUUUCUCAGGCCUAAAAACAAUAAUUGCUGCUCAAGUACCAAUAUCAGCAACUCAAAAGGUUGUCAAACUUAAGAUGGGGCAAGAGUUGUGUGGUAUCAAAGGCCAUUAUGACAUUCAAAAGAAAAGGAUCACAUUUAAAAUUUUAGAAAACUACAAAAAAAAAAGUGAUAUUCAGAAGGGAGAUACCUUUGACAUGAACAAGGUCACCAUGAAUCUUCAGGCAAGAUUGACCAAAUUAACUACAUUUGCAAACACUCUCAUUCAUUCUGCAAUAACCGAUCACCUCUCUUGAAACUUAAAGAUGCCAAGUAAUUGUUCUAGUAGGUAAUACACUGAAUGCUAGAAGAUAAAAAGGAUUGUGGAGGAUUAUAUGCUUAUUAGAAGAUAAAAGUUCUAGUACAUAAUACACUGAAUGCCAAGUUUGCAGCAGCAACUCUGCUUAUUAUGUCAGAAGAUAAAAAUGAUUGUGGAGGACUAUAUGCUAGUAAUUGUUCUAGUAGGUAAUACACUGAAACAACACAAAUAGACAAGCCUGGCAUGGCAAAAACAACUUUCAAAGAUGCAUCAGCAAACCCUACUCAUGAAAGAAAGAGAAUUGAAAUGUAACCUUAGUGCGAGGAGGCUACGAACUCGAUCUCCAUGAUGACACCGCGCUUGAGGAGGCCGCUCUCACUGCCUGCCACCCGCUGCCUGCUCGAACUCACCAUGAUGGCUGCCUUGGACCAGAGGGAGGAGGCGUCGGUGACGGUGAGGCGAAAAUGCAUGUAUCAAUACUAUUCAAAGCUGUACAUGUUCAAAUUGAGCACCUUGCUCGGGCUGGCUUCGCUACACUGGGCCUCGUCCACGGCCCCUUCCUCAGCGCCGCGGCGCCGCCCUAAUCACCAGCUUAACUCAGCCACUGUGAAAGGAAAUUAUCCAAAUUUCCUCUACAAUGACCCUUACGGCUACUUUAACUUACCAAGCUAGUAGAUAAGCAUUAUAAAUCUACAACAACAAUAACAACAACAGGCUUACACGGUCACCAGACAAUGUAUAUCUAUCUGGCUGACGCACAUACAUGACGAUGUUGUGAGUACAUUUAUAUCUGUUGGUGCCCAGGAGGGGGGAUGUCAGAAGCGCGUCUUCAGAUGAGGGUACCCGGGGUUCUGCAUCCCCAUCCCUUGAUCUGCCUUCCUUCUCAACUGUCAACGUCAAGAAAAUCAAAUGACUUGUUGAUGGUCACAAGCGUUAUUCAAAUAACAGUAGCUAGGAACGUAAGUGAAAUAAAAAUAUACAACAGACCUGGUGUGGAUGUGGAUGAAACUGGCCACCUGCGCCUCUCUGCAUUGGCAUGUUACUGGGAUUCAUCACAACCAUGCCUGCUUGGGGCCCUGCACCAAAGGCACCCAUGUUUGCACCAGGAGGCAUUCUUUGCAUACCACCCAUAGGCUGUUGCAUUCGCCUUGGGAGUGGUCUUGGUACAGGCUGGCCUCCUGGAGGUCUAUUCCCUGAUGGCUGAAACAUGAAUGCAUCCUGUUAUUAUAGAUCAUAGCACGAUAGUUCUUAAGAAUAUUUUGGUUCACUCAAAGUGGGACUGAAAUAAAUCUUCUGAGGGAAUUAAACAAGAAACAAAAUCUAAUGCAUCAGGGCAUCAUAAAUAUAAUCAGUGUAACGGAUACGAGGAUUGCACGCACCAGUUUGGAAAGCAUAUCAACGGUGAAUACUGCAUCGAAUUCAUUGGCCUUUAGUGCUUCAAGAAUGAAGUCAGCAGACACAUCUGGGAACAUCAACGAGAGAGAUUCCACCAUGGCAAGAUGACUAUCGGCGUGACUUGACUCAGUUGCUUCUCCUUUUGUGAUUCAGUAGAGAUGUUGAUCUUACCUACGCUUUCAGCAUAAUCAUCAAAAGAAAGGGACUCUGGGAGUUCAUACCCAACAGACUUGUCAGCGGUCUCAUUCUUUUCAGUCUCAUCUACUUGCUUCUCAGGGUCCUUCUUUCCUUUCAAGGCAAGCACGAAAGGAGCGGCAUGGGAAUCAACUGAAAAGACCGCUCCAGUGCUCGUGAUUCAGCAGAUCUAUCAAAAUAAUCAAGGAAACAUAAGUAUUGUACGAGCAGCCGUGAACUCAUGAGUCGUCUGUCAUCAUAUCACUACAUUUUGCAUGCAUAUCAAAUUAUGUCGAGAACGUAACUCUUGCACUCUCAUAUAAAAACACUUCGAUGAGUGCAAAAGGGUAUGCAUUAUUCAAAGAAAAUUAGAUGAAACCCAUCUCCACAUUAUUCAUCAGCAUAAGCAGUUGAUUCUUAAUGUGAAUUAUAAACUUAUAAUCCUCAGAACUCAUAAUAUCAACAUGUAGUAGCUUGUCAGUACAGGGUACACUAUGUGUGGAAAAUGUAUCACAUCUUAGGUAGAAUAUAUAUACAUCAAUCAAAGAUGAUCAGACACUGCUAUAUCAAAACAUGAUCAGACACUAGUACAUCAGUAUGUACUUACUUACAGCAGAUUAAACUGAUGCAUACGUCUAACUUGACUGGCUAAUUAAAUAUGUCCUGCACCAUGGGAGAUGAUUUUGCCACAAGUUAAGGAAGAAAUCUAAAUCUCCGUGAGACGAAGCACAUUCACUGCACAAGUUUUCCACUAAUCUUUGAUUGAAAAAAGCUUUCCACUAAUCAGGUCAGAGAAUGUAAAAUUAAGAUUUAGGCAGAGAUGGAGCUUCUAUUACCGGCUGAGUUGGUUGAAUGCUUGUUCUUCCUUCAAAUCUGUUCCUGUUGACAUAUCUACUGGAUGAACAAGAUAUGUUGCAAUUUUCUCGCCUGGCUGAGAUGGUACAAGUGCACUGACCACAGAGACAUUUUAGGCACAAGAGAUGGGAACAUCCUUCGGAAUCCAUGGGCGAGCGGUACAUACCUCGUUCCCUCGCGGAAGAUCAGAUGGAGAAGUGUCGAUCUUGGUUCCUCCAGCCCCAUGCCCUUGCCGCCCAGCUGCUCGUUCUGCCUGCUGCCGACCCGUCUCCUCUGCAUCUCCCUAUGCAGUUUGCCCACUCUCCUUCCUCUGCCUCCGCCCACCGCUUCCUCUGCCUCGCCAUCUCCAUCUUCUUUCUCGGCCUCCUGGCCUCCAACUUCUCUACAUCGCCGCGGCCGCUGCUAGUCCACACACCUCUGCUAGACGUCAAACGCCGACCACCACCUCGGCGGAGGCGCCUUUGCCGCUGCUCACCUCACUGUUGUUGCCAUGGACAUGGGGCUCGGGAGAGGGGGCGCUGCUUCUCAUCCACCUUACCUGAUGCCGUCUGCCGAGGCACGGCACCAUCGACCCAACGCCGGUGGAUUGCUCGCAGCCACCGUAUAUGUGGAUCAGCACGAGGCACACGUCCCCGGCGACGUAGAGGAGGUCGGCGAUCUCGUCCCCUACGUGCGCCAUCGUCGCUCCCUUCCGAUGAGGCCACCCUGCAUCUCCUCCUUCUCUGUUCUCAAGUUGCCGGCGCCUUGCUUGGACGGGGUAGAUAGGGGCGAGGCGGCGGCGGCGGCGGAUGGGAUGGGAUGGAAACGAGAGAGAUUUUGGGGAGAGGCAAAGGAGGUCGCGUGCGUUGGCAGAGAAGGAGGGCUCAACGCAAUCUCCUCUGUCUUUUUUUUUUCUAUAGAUAGACAAAGCGAAUGAUAUGGUGGGCCUGCCUAUUUCUUUUUGCCUCAUAGCAUUGCCGACGUGGAGUACGCGAGGGAGCGGCCAUGAUGCACACCUUAUUGUUUUGGAUAUUUAUUUCAAAGAGCAUGUGUUUUGGGCUUUAUACUUCACCAUGACCUUGAACACCAUCUCAGGUUUAUCAUUUAGUAUUUCUCAUUCAUGGCCCUUAAAAUGUAUCCUCGGAUUGUUGAACUUUAUGAUUGCAGGAGUGUCUCAUGGCUUAAUAGUCGUUCAGGCACGUGCAAUUUUUAGGAGUGAAGUCGGGAGAAUAGCUUCUUCUGGGGUUGAGGUUUCAACAGAUUGAUUUCAGCGGAGGGAUGAUGAUGCAGUGGUAAUAUUUAUGGUAAGACGUGUGGAGUAAAAAUUAAAAGUUGAUACCAUUUUUGGUCUGCUCAAAUUUUAUCCGUCUAGAGAAACUUGGUAUCAUAUACUAAGAUGAGAAAUUGUAUUAUUCAAUUCUUGACAUUUAACAGUGAACCGAGAUGUUCUAGCAUGGACUACAAACUGAUAUCAGCUACGUUUGGAUGUAGUGAAAGGAAAUCUACUUCUUGCAGUUGCAGGACCAUGAGAUGUCGGCGUUGCACCGUGGACACACCAAGGUCCCAGCCAAGUCAGUGAUCCUGCCCCGACUACCGAUUUCUUCAUCUUGAGGAAGCUGCAGCAGCCUGACUCAUUUUUGCAUAUUGUCGGCCUAUCCGAUAUGCUGCUGGGCAAUUACCACUACUCCCGUUGGAUAGGUGAACCAUGCAACUCUAUCCUUCAUGCUCUUCCCUUGUUAUCCAAUUGCUCUUGAUAAUUUAAUGAUUCAAUCAAAUUUCAUUGCAAAGCAUACUGGAUAGGGCUUUUCUUCUUUCCAAUGCAGUGUUGGUUUGCGUUAAGAUGGAAAUCCAAAUCCAUACAUUUCUAAUUCUUGUUGUUAUAAUUACACAAGUAUUUUCUCAUAUUAUUUCUUCAUUAACUAAUGUUCAUACAGAACACCAUCUCAGUAACUAGACCUGAUAUAAUAGUUAGUUUUGACAUUAGAUGCAACAACAUUGAUAUUGCUAAAUUGAUCAUGUUUUUAGUAGGAUAAUAAACUUGUCUAGCAUUUCAUUAUGAAUUGCAGGCUCUCAAAAUAGAUCUAUCUGCUCCCUGAAUUAUUCUUGGUGUAGUUUCUGAAUCAUACAUCCUGACAUGCAUUUUGCAUUGGCAAUCAUUAUUCAACGGAAUGCCUUUUUAUUGAAUAUAGACAACUGAAUGGAUUAAUGUUAUGCUUAGUAUCUUUUGGCAUAUCUCUCACACUCAAUUCAGAUGCUAUCUUGGUUGCGACUGAGUAGUCUCGACUAUACUUCAACCCGACAUCAACGAAGCAAAUAACUUGAUUAUAAGGUAAAUUCAUGAUUACCAAUGCCUAGCUAUUUUUUGAUCUUGACUGACACAAAGGCCAAAGGGUGCAAUGUGUAAGUUCAGAGAGCUCUCGCACUUUCUCCAACCAAAUAAGUCUUUUAUGCUAGAUUUUCUUUCAAGAUAACAAUAAAUCUUGGGAGCAUCCCUGUCCAUGCAUGGAACAAUACUGGAGAGAUAGAGUGCUACUGUCUUGCAUUUCUCAAUAUCCCUAACUUUAUUGCCAAUAUUAUGAUCAUCAUUAUAUUUUGUUGGUACACCAAUAUAUUUUGUUUGUUUUAUUGAUCUAUUUUCUUCCUAGGAUGAAUGCGGAUUGUUUUCACAUGAUGAUACGUGCAUUGCACGUGCACGCUUACUAGUGAAUAGUCGUGUGUAAACCUUUUCCCCUGCCGUCUAGCUGGUACCUCGUACUUUGCAACAUUGUCACGGCAAUCAUGGUUGCAUCACUUUAGAUUUCUACAAAAUCAUCAUUCUUAAAUUAAAAUUUACCAAAGUGGCUCAAAAAAUAAACGGAUUGAUGUAUGUUUACCAAAUUAUUUCUCAAAAAGGAUAGUACUUGUAAGAUCGCCAAACCAAUAUAAAAAGAUUAAAAUUUUCCAACAGCUGGACCAAUCGAGGGAGAACCAACACUAACCACACAGGAGAAGAUUGCAACACUGGCAGAAAGGGAGUUGCUGAACCCUUCCUAUAGGCCAGUGGGAACGGUGAAAGCGUUGAAGGUUACCGAAUACGACAACGACAUGGUCCCUCGAACCCCACCAGCUUCUUCGCAUCCUGCAAGUUCACUUUGUACCUAUGCGCUCAUGGACACAGUGAUAUGUGGCUUAGAUCAUCAAGCAGUUAUGCGAAAUGACACACUUUGUGCUUCUUUCAGGUGUAUCAGGCAUCAGUUAUGCCCAAUAGAAGCGACAACUGAGCAAUGAUCUACAGCCAACAUCAGAUGCGUAUGAUUUCCAUUAACAAAGAAGAUUCCACACCGUUCAAACUAAGGGCGCUUAUACAUAAUUACGUAUACAUCUCAUUUGUUAUUGGGAUCGUGUGAGGUUGUACUUAUCAAACUUGUCCACUUUGGAAACCUGUGUUAUGGAAGUGAGGUAGAACAAAUAAGAUAGAAGUUGUUGUGUCGUGGUCCAGUUUGUGUUAGAACUGUCUCCAAACCAAAUUGAGGAGAGAAAAUAAGAGCAAUUACAUGAAGCAGAGGCACAUGUUUAUUGGACAAUAUUACCCUCUUCAAAGAUUUUAUGGGAGGGUGUGCCCAUUUUUUGUCCUUUCUAUGUUUUCUGAUCAUAUAAGACCGCUGAGGACAUGCCUUCGCAUAUUGGAAGCCUAUUUUUUUCUAUUUCUGUGUCCGUUAAAUCAUGUGAAUCAAUGAGAAUCAAUGAUCAUACCAAUGCAAACAACCACAAUUGAUGAGGUUGUGCGCAACAUUUUUAUUACACACCAAAAGAGGACAAAUACAUUAUGCAUAUGCCAUUCAGCUGACAUCAUUCUUUGCUUUAUUCAAUUAUUCCCAUUAUGAGAAUGUUCUUACACUGAAGGCCUAGGUACUUGCCGGGGGUGGACGUCGUCGCUUUAUGACCGGAACAAGGUAACCUGCAAAAUUUGCAUUCUUCGCAUCAUGAUGAUGAACAUAAGCAAUUAUAAUAAAGUGUGCACAUAUAUCAACACAUGCGCAAAAAAAGAUGUGUGUGUGUGUGUGUGUACAAAUAUAACAAUAUACCAACCUGCACAAUGAGUGUGUGGGUGCAACCCUUUGCCGCAUACAUGUGUAAUACAGGCGAACUUGGGUAGACUGAUCCUAGUCAGUUCGUGAGCGGUGAACCGAUCACAGACGAGUGGAUGUCCGUCACACCUCUUAUUGCACCACAACAUAGGGUCCACGGUUGCGGAACCUGGUUACCAAGAUUCUUUUCGAUGAUACCCGAGCAGUCUCGCAUCACGUUAUUUUUAUCGAUGGUGCAGUGAUCUACUCCAUGGAUUGCUUGUGCAUUGCGCGAACAAGAAUAGAUGGCCAAAAAGACUAGGAGGCAUAACACUCCAGCUACUUUACGGUUGGUCAUGUUCUAUGUUGUGUAGUACUGUCGGUAUGUUUUAAUGCAUGACUUUUGCACCACUCGGCCUCUUAUAUAGCGGUUUUAGUGCAAG